RNAcentral lists this long non-coding RNA (56192 nucleotides) under Podarcis lilfordi (Lilford's wall lizard). Lineage: Eukaryota; Metazoa; Chordata; Lepidosauria; Squamata; Lacertidae. The record is from RNAcentral.
ACCCCAUAUACUUAUGGUGGUGGUAUGUGAUUGUGCAUUGAACACUAUAAGGCCGUCAUAGCGAUGCAAACAGGGCAAUGGCCAAUACGAUAAUUUUCAAAUCACCUUUGUGUCCAGUCUAGUUCUGGUGUAAAAACUGCACUGCCAAUACACAGGGAAUCUUGUCGGACUGGAUGAAACUUUGGUUUGAUCCAGCACUGAUGCUCUUAUGAAUUAAAUCCAACUCCUAAGAUGCUCUGGUUCUCUUCAAACAUCUAAAUUCAACACAUUCUCGAUGUCUUCCAAGGCCAUUUAAAUGUUGCAUUGAAUAGGGUUUUUUUUGUAAGCUUUUAAUAUUGCUAAUGGGCUAAUAGACAGGUAGAAGUGUGUUAGCAAUAAAAAUGAGAUCGGGCCAAGAAUAUUAUAUUCAUGUAUCCUUCAAAUCAAACUCUCUCUUUAAGUUUUAAUUCCCACACCAUUCUCUCCCUCCAUUCCAUUUUAACAUUUCAUGAGCAAAAGAAAACUAUGAGAGGAAGCAUGGAAAAUUUAAAUUAAGCUGCACUGAUUCAAUACAAGCAGGGCCUGGAUGAAGUUGCUCAUGAAAAUUAUUGCCAUUAUCAAGAAAUGCUUUAAUUUUUCACCCCCCCUUUUUUUAGCUAAUUGGACUUGCCUAUGUGACUGAUAAAAACAACAAUAUUGUCUCUCCGUUGCCACCCUGUUGCUCUCAAUGACAUCAUAAUGUAGCCCAAAUCUGACUGGAUACAGUUCACCAUGAGGUCAUCACAUUCACUAUGUGAAUCCUGAUUGGAAUAUGGGUUCAUGUGGCAGAGUCAGGAAGGACAAAGCAUCAACAGCAGCCAGGGAGAAAUGGUGUCAUAGCAGUAGCCAUAGGAAACAGUGACAAUGAUCUGGAUGAAAAGUAGGUGAGUUUUUACGUAAUUUAGUCAUUUUCUACCCAGUGAAAUCUCUAUUUUCAAUUUGAAAACUUGGCAGCUGUGGGAUGCCAUCCAUUGAAUUUGCUCAAGUUCAAUCAAACACUUUUGGUUGUGUUGUUCAAGAUGCAUUUAUGACUGAACAAGAAACGGUAAAAGCAGAAAAUGUCAGCUGAAUACCUGCUUCUUCUGUAGGUCUUUAUAGCAAUUUUGCUAGAUUCAAGAGGCUUGUAGUUUUUGGAGAAGUUUCCAAGAAGCAUCUGUAUGGUUUUGUGAAUAAAUGAACUCAUGAACUUUUGGAGAUUAACUAGACUCUAAUAAAUAAUGUCCUUCUAUAGUUUUUAAUCUACUCUGGCAGAAGUGUGGAAUAAAGAUGUUAAGUUCUUAAUAUCUCUUGAGAAAGCAUCCAAAUGUCAGGUUGUACAAUACUGUGCCUUUCUUUGUAAAACCCUGGAAGCCUAGUUUACAAAAAGGAAUGUAAUACAGGGGGAGAUCAUUGUGGAUUACAAAGCAGCUUCUGAAAAUGUCAGUGGUAAAUAGCCAGCAAAUCCCUUAUUAUCAAUAUCAUGGCAUUGAUAUACAGCACAAAGGCAUAUAUGAUACUUGCAAAUCCAUAUCGCAUCAAACAUUUUAGUCAGUAGCAAUCCCUCAGACCCAAGCGAAACACAGGUCUAAUACAUGUGGGAUCUUGGGUUUUAUUAAUGAUUAAGUUACAGGGACUCCUCUUGCACAAAUGAACUUGAUUUUAAUUGAGUUCUAUGAAAAUGUGCCUGGGGUGUUUCUUGCUUUCCUUAUGUCUAAACAUCACAAAAGAGAUUAAAACCCCUUUUUGGGAAAUGAGUCUUCAUUAGGAAGGAAUAAACUGCUUCCACCUUUGGUUUCCCAUGAAGUGAAAAGUGUCUCGCAGUGGAACACAGGCAGUUAUUGACCUCAACCUCUGUGGACUAAAUCAGAUGUAACCUUCGUGCCAUUUGAGCUCAUGCACAAUCUGGUCUAAUGCUACUCUGAUCACCUAUUGUAACAUAAAUGCUAUCUUGUGGCGUCAAGUGAAAAGACAGCUGUCUUCUGUUCAAGUCAAUUGCUUACUAAUGAGCAUGGAUGGUCAUCUGAUGCUUUCCAGGCUUAGCUGAAGGUGCUUGGUUUUUGAUGGCUGUUUCCUCAAUGACCACUGCUAAGGAUAUAGGUGUGGCCUGAAAAGAGGGGGAGAGGCUGAGGAAGAAAUUUGGCCUGCAGGGAUUCCCAAAAGCCACAGAGAGAGAGGCCUGGAGGGCCGCAUCUGACCUGUGGGUCUGAGGUUCCCAAGCCUGGUCUGAUAUUCCUGUGAACCAUGAAGGGAUUAAUCGGCAUUUACGGUUUUGCUUAAUUAAUUCAGACUCACAAACCUGAAGGAUAAAGAACAUUGAACCAUUUCCCACUAAAAAUCAUGAUUUAUUGCAAUUAAACAAUUACAUUAUAAAUGGUAAUUUUGGUGCAAAAUCCUUUUUAUUUUUAAUUGACAAGGCUCAUCAGUUCCAAGCAAAGAUUGAUUCAUGUUGCUUGGAAGUCUUGUUAAGCAAUCCCAUUAUUGUUAUAUUUUUUUACUUCUCUGGGCUGUUUGUAAGAAAGCAUAUUCACCCCAAACGGUAAUUUGCCAUAAAAAAAUAGAUAAAAUAUUGCAGUGGUAACUAACCAGAAAGAAUAAAAUGAUGAUGGAAUUGAGAAAGUUGUACUUGCACAAAAAGCUUUCAAAAUCAGCAUCCUCAGGCUUGAUUAGCAUGAAUGAAAAAAAGAAAUCUCACAUAAAUAAAUAAAAUGCUAGCAACUACUACCUCCUACUUUACUUGUGGGCUCUGCGGUUUAGGGAGCAGAGGGAGGGGUACUCUAGAAGUCUGAGGCAAGCAAGGGCCCACAGCCCAGCUCCCUAACUGGCCAGGUGGGGCUCGCUAGCUCUGGGAGGAGGUGUGUGAUAACUCAGGUGGAGUAGGCUUAGAACAGGUGAGGGUCACAUGUCUCAUCAGGCCCAGAUGCUGUAACAGGCAUGCAAAGUACAGAAGGGCAGCAGAGCAAAGGUUCUGUUUCUGUUGAACUGCCCAUGUUGAUGGCCCUCAGCUUGUGAGACUCUGUUUCUGUAUGGACUUUGGACACAUGGAUUGAUCCUGGACUGGGGACUUAACAUACUGACUUGCUGCCAGGUAGGCCAGAGGUUCAGGACACAGGAGAUGGUGAAAAUUCAACUCUUGAUUGCUUAAUCACUGCUAACAGGAGGGGUUGUAGCUCAGUGGUAGAGAAUAUGCAUUAUGUGGCUUGAUUCCUGGCAUUGUCAGGUAGGGAUGGGAAAGUCUUCUAGCUGAAACUCUGAGAAGUUUCAGUUGGUGUAGAACAGUGAUUGCUAAACUUGGCCCUCCAGCUGUUUUGGGACUACAAUUCCCAUCAUCCCUGACCACAGGUCCUGUUAGCUAGGGGUGAUGGGAGUUGUAGUCCCAAAACAGCUGGAGGGCCAAGUUUGGUCAUCACUGGUGUAGAAGAUCACACUAAAUUGACAAGUGAAUCAUAGAAUCAUAGAAUCAUAGAGUUGGAAGAGACCACAAGGGCCAUCGAGUCCAACCCCCUGCCAAGCAGGAAACACCAUCAGAGCACUCCUGACAUAUGGUUGUCAAGCCUCUGCUUAAAGACCUCCAAAGAAGGAGACUCCACCACACUCCUUGGCAGCAAAUUCCACUGUCAAACAGCUCUUACUGUCAGGAGGUUCUUCCUAAUGUUUAGGUGGAAUCUUAUUUCUUGUAGUUUGGAUCCAUUGCUCCGUGUCCGCUUCUCUGGAGCAACAGAAAACAACCUUUCUCCCUCCUCUAUGUGACAUCCUUUUAUAUAUUUGAACAUGGCUAUCAUAUCACCCCUUAACCUCCUCUUCUCCAGGCUAAACAUGCCCAGCUCCCUUAGCCGUUCCUCAUAAGGCAUCGUUUCCAGGCCUUUGACCAUUUUGGUUGCCCUCCUCUGGACACGUUCCAGUUUGUCAGUGUCCUUCUUGAACUGUGGUGCCCAGAACUGGACACAGUACUCCAGGUGAGGUCUGACCAGAGCAGAAUACAGUGGCACUAUUACUUCCCUUGAUCUAGAUGCUCUGACUUGGUUCCUGUGUUCCUAAACCAGAAAAUGGGUCAUGGGAUUAUGCCAUCCCUCCUGGAAUAUGAAAUCUCAUAAAUUUGGAUAUGGUUUCAAACCCUGACUAAGUAGUAACCCAGUUUAGUUCUAACUAAGUGCUGACAUAAUGAUCUACUGCAGAGAAUUUAUGCUCUGUGAGAGGUAUUGGAAAGAUCAUUGUUGAACCAUGUUAAGCAAUUGGCAGUGUUACAUCUCCAGAAAGAUAUUUCUUUUGAAGAUCUCAUGUGUUAGAAGCAUGACAUGAAACCCGUUAUAGCAUCUAGUGCGAAUUACACCACCUCUUUGCAUGCUUACCAGUGGUGAAUCGCUCCAGAAUUUGCCACCUUGGAGAUAUGCCUAGCAUGAGGCUGUAAAUCAGAUGUAAUUCUCUGCUUUAGUGCUGCUUAUAUGAGUAUUGGCAAAAAAGUGGUCUAGUCUGUUGAUACAGCUUCAGUCAAUUAAAAAAAAAAGCAGAAUGAAUUAUUAGAGAUACAGUUAAUUUGGCUUCUCUUUGAGUGCAUAGAUAAAUUCCUUGAAUCUCAUUAAUUGUUUUCCUGUAGUGAACAGGAAAAUGUAUUCCCAGAGAACUGAGCUGAAAAUGGUAUCUCAUAUUCUUAAAAUUAACUGGGGUGGUGGUGGUGGUGGUUAGAAAUGUAUAACCUAGCGGAUAAUGUUAGUGUUUAAUACAGAUGGGAAAUGGUGUGUGUAUAAAAUCCCUGGUGUUGAAUUAAUAUAAAAAGUGGCAGUUCUCUGCUUUAGCAUGCUGCAGCCUCUUAGAUUUUGUUUCUUACACCUGGCUAAGCACCCAUUCAAUAUGAGUAAUCAUUCAGAAUGAUACCUAUAGACUAAUAAUGCUCAACAGACCUCUGGUUAAUUUUGUGGUUAGUGAGUUGGGAAAUUGUGGAGGUACACCAUGAAAACAUUGCUAAGCAGUAAAUUAUCCUAGACUUGGUUGCUGGUAAAACCUUGGAAUCAAAGCAUGUAAUACACAGAGGAACGGCUUUCAAUCUGUGUUCCAUAGGCUUCCUCAAUGAGAAGAUCAGAAUGGUAGGCAAGGAUAGGUGGGCCACCGCUGUCAAUCUUCCCUUGCCGUUGUUCACUGUAGCAUGGGUUUGGGCAAUGCUCGCUGUAUGAACCAUGCUGCUAGAACGUUCCCCAGAGUCCUCUGCAACAAGCAGGGGGUUCCUGGCAGGUAUUCCACAGCAGAUAAGUUGAGAUAGAAAGGAUUUCCUGAAGCCAGACAGUUUGCAAAUGACUAGUAUAGACCUUACCAUGGAGCAAUGGGUAUUUGGACUCUACACUGAAAUAUAUUAGCGUGGUUUUGGUGGGUGGGGAAGAAGUCUCUGCCCUGAGGAGUUUUCAUGAAAAGGGGGGACAAGGGGGGGAAUACAAAUGAAUGCAGUUGCACAAUGCUUGGGAGCAAGCCAACCGAAGUCACUUGGAUUUACUUAUGAGUAAACAUGCAGAGGAUUGCACCAUGGGGGUAAGGACUAAUCAUUAAGUCAGACUUUUCAUGGAAAAGGUGGGUUUUGUUUAGGGAUUUUGCUCUAUUUAUUUACUCCUGUCAUAUAAUUUAAAAAGUUAUCGGGGCAGCUUAUAACACCAUAAUAAGGCGAAUUAAGAAUGAUUAGCAAUAAAAUAAAAGGUAGCAAUAAAAAAUAAUGCAGCUUGAAAACACAUGGAGAAGACAAGGAUGAAAACAGAUCAGGUUUGAAAGGCCUGGCGAAAAGAAAAUGGUCUUUGAUGUCAGGAAGGUGGGCUUUCUCUGGGAAGGCCGGCACUGAAGAGAACAGAAUGGGCGCAAUAUAUGGUACUGCCACCACCCCAUUGCUGCUCCUGCUUACUUUUAAAGAGUUUUGCCUCCACUGAUAAUGAUGUUCUGAGAGGGUCUUCCCUCAGAGCAAAACAUUCUAGGCAAGGUGGCCCAGAAGAACACUGGUACUGCCACAAAUUUUCCAUGGCAGCUAGAAAUGACCUAUAAAUGUUGAAGCAGGAGUUGUGUCCCAUGGAUGUUUUUGGAUUCCAACUCUCAUCAGCCCCAGCCAUCAUGACCAAUGGGCAGAGAUGAUGGUUUGUUGUCAAUAUUUAUUCUUGCAAUCUCAUUUUUGACCACAUCCAACUUACCAAGGUUCAUGGUUCUUACAUUCCAGCUUCCUAUGCAAUAUUUUUCUUUACAGCAUUGGACUUUCCUUUCGCUUCCAGGCAUAUCCACAACUGAGGACCUUUCGGCUUUGGCCUAGCCGCUUCAUCAGCUCUGAAUCUACUUGUACUUGUCCUCUGCUCUUCCUCAGUAGCAUGUUGAACGCCUUCUGACCUGAGGGGCUCAUCUUCCAGCGUCAUAACUUUUAUAUGCCUGUUGUCUUUGUCCAUGGAGUUUUCUUGGCAGGGAUACUGGAGUGGCUUGCCGGUUCCUGCUCCAGGUAGAUCAUGUUUGGUCAAAACUCUCGACUAUGACCUGUCCAUCUUGGGUGGCCCUGCAUGGCAUAGCUCAUAGCUUCUCUGAGUUAUUCAAGCCCCUUCGCCACAGCAAGGCAGUGAUCCAUGAAGGGGAUGGUAGUUGUAGCUUAACUCCAGCAUUACAACACACCACUUGAAACAUGAAAGAGACAAUGUGCAUGAACAGCCUAGACAUGCAAUGUUUAAAGCAGGACCCUAUGAGUGUUUACUCCCCCCCCCAACAAGAACACAGGCUCUGUAAUGUAUUUUGGGAUAAAAGUGUUGCACGAAACAGGAGGGGGAAGAAAAGGCUAGCAACUUCUGUUUUUAACGCUAGCUUGUGAGUGACUUGUCUUCCUACUUAGAAUGCUGAACAUGUAAGCUUCAGCAUCCAUAAUGCCACACAACAGAUUUCAGGCCAAGAAUUUAAAAACGUAAUGUUUUCCCCUUGAAGCUAAAGGAGGAAUGAUAGGUAAGCAGAAUUUAAUAAUCGCUCAAGUUGGGAUUUGUACAGAAAGAAUCGCUUUUGCAAUUCCAUUGGUAUUUCAGUGUUUCUGCUGCCAGAAGAUUAGCAACCUUUUUUAUAUUUAUUUAAUACUAUGGAUUGUUUAUUUGGGUGGGAGAAAAAUGGGAUGUGAGGGGCAGGAUAUGAUCAGGGAAGAAUGCUCUUUGGCUCAUUUGAAAGUGUUCUGAACCACUCGAAAAAGAAAAAAGAAAUACUCCGCUGCAAUUCCCCCCCCCCCCCAGAUACUAGAAUCCAGGAGAUCAGCAUAAGCUCCUAAAAUCUGUAACUUGCGCAGCAUUUCCUGAUACUUCCUGUCCCCAUUAGGUCACUCAGUGUUUAUGAUCAGAGCAACAGCGCGGCAGGAGUUUGCCAAAGUUCUGUAGAAAUGGCUUGCUGUAUUAAUUGAAAAAAGAACAUCCUUCUCCUUAGAGAUUACUCUAGUUUCCUGCUCCCCACACUCCCCAGGGAAGCAGGGAGGGAUUAUAUUCAAACCCGUAAGAAUACAUCCAAUGUAUAAAUUGGGACAGCAGCAAUAAUCUAAGAUUUGUAAUUAAUUUGCACACCAGUCUAUGGCUUCUUGUUGGCAUUGAUGGUCAGUUAUCUCCUAUAUCUGGCUUUCCCUUACCCUCAGAUCAUUUAGGUUGCAAACCUGUACACACCUACCCAUCAGACACAAUGGGUUUACUUCUGAGUUGGCAUACAUAGCAUUUCAGUGCUAGCUGGCUGGACAAACCAACCCCCAGUGUGCAUUGUGCAGGCUACUCAGAUUCUAUGAAUUCCAUUGCACACAUGUGACUCUCUUGGCAUUGUGGAAAACAUUGUUCCCCUGUUCUGGCAGGUAGUCUGAGCUUCCAAGCAGCAGGUAUAUCAUUUUUGCCACACUCCCUACCCCAGAUUGUUCUGCAGGGCUCAUGAGAUUGAUGGGUAAGACGCAAUCAAAUACGAAAUAAUUAAAAAAUAAACACAGACUUUUCAGAGGCUUGCAUCCCAUGACAUACACUGGUGAUCUUGCUGGCUUACUGCAGGGUGAUGAUUGUGCCUUGGCCAUUUCAUACCUUCCGUAGAUUCUGUUGAUUACAGAUUAGCUUCAACAUACCACUACAUGGGAUUGAGGAGGGCACAUGAAAUCUGCCACCAAACAUGGCUUCUCUGAUCGCCAUCUUUGCGAAUUAAGAUCAGGAUCGAGGGUUGUGCUGAUUUGGUGCUUAUCCUAAGUAAUUCAUUCUCUUGAAAGAUGGGUCUUGGUAUCCACGACUGAGCAGCCCUAUUUAGGAUCCACGCUGCUCACCCCCAAAAGGGGGAGGUGCUAGAAAAGCUGCCCUAAACAUAGUCUGCCUCUCUCCCCCCCCCGACUGGGUUAUCAUGCCCAGUGGGGUCAUCACCCAGCGGUCAUAAAAGACAAUCCCACCCCCAGAAGGCGAAAUCCUUUAAAAAUAACAUUUGACAAGUCAUUUUGGAAAACUCUUAUUAUUAUUUAGAGCUUGAUUUGAAAGGCAGCUUCAUUGUAUCACUGUAGGUGGUAUGUUGACCUGUUGAUGUUUGCCUGGUCAGUUUUAUGCUCCCUUCCUGUACUGUAACCUGUUUUUCAUAAUAGAAAAGUGAGUAUGGAUGCAAUCCUAAAGGGCAUGGUGGGGGAAACCAAAGCCAUUGAGCCACCUCAUCCAACGCUCUGCCAGGCUUUCAUAGAAUUAUUAGCACAGGAGCACUUGUCUGUCCCUUUCUCUUUUUCCAUAUUCUCUCUCUAUAUAUUAUAAAUCCCAUUGUGAACAAUGGGAAGGAAAUAAACUAUGCCAGCUCAAACUGGCGUAGUUUGGGCCCUAGUUUAGGAUCCAAACUUUUCCCUAGCCAGCCCUGAGCAUGUCCCCUUUUCUGCCUUACUGACAUCAGAGCUCUGACAUUAGCAGGGCAGGGGCCACAGAUAUUUUUUGCAGUGGCCGAGAUACAGCAUCCAACAUUAGGUCUCCCUCUCAAAGCUCAGAGAGGAAGAUCCAGUGUUUCCCAUGGUCCCUCCCAAGCAAAAGAUAUAUAAAAAGAAAAGUACAAAAAAUUAGCCGCGGCUUGUGCAUGCAGCUCUUGAGAAGAUGAGUGGGCUUCUGUUGUGAUGUAUCUGAGAUAAGGGAUGGGCAAAUUGGUCAAUUUCGGUUUCUUACUUUUCCACCCUAAAGAACAGUUCUCCAUAUUUCCACGACAAUUUUCUUCUUUUUUUUAAAAAAAGUAUGAAUCCCCCCCCCACAUUUUUGUGUAAGUUUCUGCUAAUGCACAGAUUUUUGUAUGCAGUUUAGUUAAUAUACACAUUUUUUGCAAAACAUUUUCGCCAGAACAAUGCAUGUUUGUUAUUUUCAUGAAUAUCUGCAUUUUAUCCUAAUGAGCACUCACGCUAUAUUGUGGGUGCCUUUUGCGGGAUCACGUGAGGUGCUACAGUUCCCAGGAAACUUGCUAGUAGAAGGGGGCUGGCCUGCUUCUCAGUGUAUUAUUCAGAGGUUCACUCCCAGCUUCAGACGGUUCACUCCCAGGCAGACGGCUCUGGAGAUUCACCCUCCCUUUGUUAAUGUUCUUGCUUGCAGGUUAACUUUUUCUUCCUUUUUAGUGGGUGCUGCUGUGGUCUUUGACUGGUUGCUGUUGAAGGACUGGGAAGAAAUUUUCCUGCAUUGGCAGGUUUUGUCUUCCCCAUAGCAAUUCAUCACAACUUUGGCGGUUAUGGCCUUGGGUGGAAUCCUUUAGUCUUUUCUUCCCUAUAAUGGGGGGGGGGCCUUUGAAGUGGUUACUCACCCCCCUGUGGUGACGAUUCCAGGGUCCCCCUCUUAAAGGGUUACAUAAAUAGGUGUCACUGGCCAUAGACUGAAAGGUUGUCAGUGAACUACCCUGUGUGUGGGGAUAUGGGCUGGGCUGCCUGCCUACAAUUACGUCUCACAGAGCACCCCCAUAUCCCAUUUACCCUAUGAACCCCAGUUCCCCCUGGCUGGGAGGGAUACAAGCUCAAGACCUAAGCCAAGGUCUUCCUACAUUCAGAAGUUUAAUAAAGUUGUGGCCUAAUUUUAAUUCCAUAACGUUGUCAGAGUCUUUAUUUCCUUUCCUAUGUUCCCUGGGAGUUGGGGCUGUCACGCCUGGUCAUGCAAUACGAGUGGCAACCAUUUUAGGUGUGUCCGAUUGACAUCCAACUGCCAAUGUGUGGCUCCUUUUGGACCUGGAAGAGGGAGAAAUGGGGCAGGAUGGGCUUAUGCACACUUGGCCAGUGCAUGCUUUGACACAAACUCCAUGAAAAAGGGCAAUGGCCUUUAUAACACAUUUUGUACACAUUACUUCAUGGGAGAACUACAUUGCCAAAUGCGGAGAAGCAUGAAUUUUGAAGGGCAGCUGUGUUUGGAUCCACAUAUUAGAUCAAUUUGCAUUUAAAUGCAAACUGAAUCCCCUAUCCCUAACCCAGAGAGCAACACAAGGAUGAUAAAAAGGAGCCCUUUAACCAUUCCCCUUACAGUAGGAUUUAAUUUCAAAGCUCUUCCCUGCUUUGUGACCUUGAAAUCUUGCCUUUCAUUGGGUUUUUUUCGGGAGGGGGGAGAGGGUAAUAUUACAGCUGCAUGCUACAUAUACUUGCGUUAAAAUGGUUCGGAAGCAAGACUUAUUGGGAGGGGCAAGCUUUUUUGACAUGAAAGCAUCCCACCUGUGUAGAGUGAGCAGGAAUUUUUCAUUAGCCAUGCCUUGUGGUCCUUUCAGUUUUCCAAGUUUGACAGGGUGAACUUCCGUGUCUGCUUCCCUUCCCCUCUUCUGCUCCCUCCACGCUACAGCUCACUCGCUCUGUCUCUCAAAUGGCUCGAUUCUGUGGGUUGCGGUGACGGAACAGACAACAUAUUCCUGGAGCCGUUGGUGUUUACUAAUCGGAGGUGACAGAAGCCAGAAAGGGAAGCCUUCUCACCAAUAAAUAAAAAAUGAUCUGCAGUUAGAUCACUUAAGCCCUUCAUUGUAAUGUGAGGAAGAAAAGGGGGGAGGGUAUAUACCCUCCCAUAAAAGCAGAAAUGCUCUCCUUUUUCAUUCCUCAAUCCAAAUACAUCCAGGAGGCAGCCUCUCACGCUGUGUCUUAACCUGCCUUUUGCAGCUAUAGAAGAAUACAGAUGACGGUGGCUUGAGACAUUUUCCUUUGUGCGGUGCGUCUUAUGCAAAGUGGGGAUAAGGAGAGAGGAACGACGGCAGCAAACUGCACAGGCAGUGUAAAGAGAGACAUUCUGCACAGAAUGAAUGUCUUCCUGAUUGCAUUGAGGUUUAUAACGCUGUGUGCUUUCGUCCCAGUGGGUGGUGCAAUUGAGCCAACCUUCCCAGCAGACCAGUUUUAUUACAAGAGAUACCUUAUUAAUUUAAGGGGGGAAACAUAGAAAGAAAAAAAUAAUAAUAAACACCCAUAUUACAAAUUGCAGGUCAUUAUUUGAUACAGCUGCACGGCUUUAAGAAAGGAUGGCAGCUGGAACAUUAAAAGGGAAUGCCACUGCUAAACUUGCUCUGGCCAAUUUGCUUCUCAUUAGCUCUCGGGUUUUGCCCCCUCCUUUUACAAACAUGAAUUAUGCCUGGAUUUUCCAUUAUUAACUUUUUUUUAUAGAGAUCACAGUUUUUGUACUCGGCUGCAAUACGUGUAAUGUUUUCUUUGCUAUCAAAAACAAGCCCUCACCCCAGCACUUCUUUCUGAUUCCCAAAGCAGGUAUGGAUUUUGAGCUUGGGGUUCAUUGAUGUGUUUGGAUGGGUCCACUGAAAUUCUGGAACUUUAUCUGCAUAAAAGCUGGUUUAAUAAUAAUUCUCUCCCCCCAGUGAACUCUGGGAAUUGUAGUUCAGGGGUGGGUUAAGGAUAUCCAACAGAGGAUUCUCAGCAUGCUUAAAUUCCCAUUUGCUUCUUUCUUUGUGGGACUCUAGGACCAUAUAUGCACCUUGCAGAGUUCCCCAUGAAGCGGGACUGAUUAUUAAACCACUCUGGAAACUGUGGCUCAGUGAGGGGCACAGGGGUCUCCUACCAACACUUGGCACUCAACAAAUUACAGGGUUUUGUUUCGUUUAUUCACUUUCACUUUUAGUUUGUUCAAUUGAAAUAUUCUCAUUUUUUUUUAAAAAACCCACAAACUACAAUUCCCAGGAUUCCUUUAAGGAAGCAGCAACUGUUAAAGUGGUAUAUGAGAGCGGUGGCAGACCUUGGGGUCUCAAAUUUCAGCAGCACCAUGUGCAACACCAAAAUUUGGUCUCUCUCCCCCCCCCCGCCUUUGCUUUUGCAUCAUAGUUGCGGUGCCUCCAACUCUCUGUGCCCAGGGUGACUGAACCAGUUGCGCUCCCCUAAAUCCACCUCUGAUGAGAGCUUUACAUGUGUGGUGCAAAUGUGGCAUAUGGCAGCUGAAAUGCUGCACAAUUGAUAUUAGCUACUGAUGUAAACAGACUUAUGAACUGUAUUACAUAGUAAUAGUGCUCAUCAAGUUAUGUGGGGUUGUUGUUAAGCUUUGAAAAGGAAUCACACUCUACCACAGUCCAGGUUUGAUCAGCGUAAGGCUUCCACUGUCUCUAGUUCCUUGCAGAGAUACCGUAACUCACCAGGGAGUUUCACAGGAGCUGUCCAAGGUACUGAAUGCUUGACAGGGAAAGUGCCUGCGUCCACUGUGAGCCUCAUGCCUCUACAGACCUGAACAAGUCAAAAGAAGAAAAAACCCCAUUAAAUUGUGGGGUGAUGCUGAGGGGCUAUGCGCACACAUUUCCUGCAGUAGAGGUAGCCUGGUUGUAGGGUUGAAACUCAAUGGUAGAGCAUCUGUUUUGCAUGCUGAGACUUCUAGGUUCAAUCUCCAGGUAUGGCUUGGAGAGACCCUCUCUGAGUUGCUGCUGGUUAGUGCAGAGACACUAGCCUAGAUGGACCACUCACCUGAUAGCUUCCUAUGGCAGCUUCCGCCCACAAUUCCCUGGCCAGAGGUGGCUUGCUUUGUAAAUAAACAUCUCCUAACCUGUUGAGAAAGCAUCUUCAGUCAGCUCUAGAAACACUAUCAGUAUUCCCUAGGGAGAAAGCAAGUGAUCCAAAAGGCAGCCAUCUCUUCACUUGAUGCAACACUAGAGGAUUUCUGUGUUAAUAGAUAGAAAGUGGGGAGAGUACUCUUCUUAUCUACUCUGCAUGUAUGCUAAAUGGGUAGUUAAUAUGAAUGGAUGGAAAGAGUACACACCUCCAGAAAUCUUAACAUUAGAGGAUGGUAGAGCGAUGCUCCCAUCUGAUUAAGCAACAGGAUUCCAUUGAUGGUGUGGCACAAACUGAUAGCAAACCUUAGAGACCAACAUGAAUUGUGCAGGAGGUAUCUGUGGGACAACAAAUAUGUUCUGUGAGAUUGAAAUCUAUGCUCCACACAAAAUAGCAUCUGUAGAGUUACAGUUACACUGGAUGACUCUGUUAUCUCCUGCCCUCUUGGGUACUCCUUGCUCCAGAGAAUCUCCCACACGAUAGUGGCAUUAUCUUGUUCCCGUAAAAGUAGUCGGCCUCACCAUUGCCUGUGUGUCUGUAUGUGAAAGAGAGAGGAAGAAAUAGGAAAACAGAGUGCUCACAAUAUAUCUUGAUCAGAUUAUGUAAAAUGAUGCCAGUUCCAUCUGCUUCUUUUCAGAUCUUAUGAUGUAAUGUCCUGUUACAACAUACAGAGGUGUGCGUAAUAAAUGCCUAGAUCAGUCCCCCCCCUUUUUCCUUUAGGAGUGAGGAAGGGGCUAUGGAACAGAGGCUAGUAAAUUAGGUUGACUUAGAAAAAAUGGGUGCAGGUAACUUUUAUCAUGAAAAAGUUAGUACAUGGUUUCUACUGUCCCUCCAGAUCAGCCUUGCCCUACAGUUGUUUCCCUGUCCUAGGGGCUGGGGCUCCCCCAUGUCUUUUGGGUAAGGAGAUCUGCUGGGCAUGAGAUCCAAAAGAGGGGAGCUGACAGGCUGGAGGCAAAUCUCCCUGCUUGGUUUCCUUUCCUGGCCAGCUAUCUAUCUCUGCUGUCACAGAUUUUUCUCUUCAAGUGGGGAUAUAUUCCCUUCUAUCCAUCGAAAGGAGAGAGCUAAUCAUGCCACAUGGGCAUUGGGCUAGCUCUCUGCUUUUGAGGAUGAGCUGCAGAACUUGGACCGUACUGUCUUAUUGCUGUCCUCACCCACCAGGUUUGUAGAUGUCCCUACAGAUAGUCAGCAGAAGCACUGAGCAUUUUUAUUGCUAGGCACAGAGAUGCUGUAAAUAACCAGUGGUGGUGGCUGGAUAUUGUUGUUGCAACCAUUCAUUUGUCUUGAGAAACAAUGGAGUGCAACCUCAGGAGUGAAGUCAAAACUGCUGUGUUUGCAGCACUGAAAUGACCUCUCUGGGGCACAAGCCCAUGCAGUGUUUAUGGAGGUCCUGAGCUGCCUAGAUGACAAGACCCUGUUCUCAAUCUCGCUUGUGUAGUUUAGCACCAGCUUGGCCGCAGGAGUUUCUGGAAGGAGGUGUACAAGGCAUCAUCCAACUGUCUUAGGCACUCUACUCCAGAUUUGUGUAGGGUUUACUCCUUAGCAUUUUCUUCUCCAGAAGAUAUCCCACAAGACAGCAGAGGUUUAGGAGCAGAGCAUUCCUUCUCCAAGGUGGGCUACCUUCCCAGGUUGACGAGCCCCAUCUGCUUCCCACUACCCUCUGUAUCAUGUGCAGAAACUGCCUUCUUGACCAUUGGACCCACUAUUGGCCUUGUCCACUCAAUCCAUCAGAGCCUAUCUUCACAUGCAGGGGAAGUCCCUGACUCACCAAGGGUUUGAGACCAUUGGCUACCCUCACCUGGUUUAGCCAGCCAGCCAAAGCCAUUCUUGGACUGUGGCUGCUGUCGCACGCUGACAGCUUCUGGAAGCCACAGGUGAGAGCUAAAUGCAGGGUAGAGACCAAAGGUGGACAGACUUCCUCAGAAGGAGGACAUGUCCCCCAUCAGAGGUACCACCUCUCCCCUAACACCCCAUACACACCUGAUGUACACCAUCAGGAUCAUGCUUCCCAGUAAUGCUUGAUAUCCCAAAGGACUGAUGUGUGCUUUUGAAUAAAGAACAAUAACGCUGAUUGUAAUGGUAUACUACUUUGAGUCAAAUGUAUAGGAUUGUAGCCUGAGACGCUUUUCCUUCUUAGUUUAGGGUGUGGAGGGAGCAUCUUACUUACGGAAAAGUCAAUUGACAGAUAUCUCUGUUUUUCCCUUUGAGAGGAAAAGGUAUUUGUCUGGUUUUUCUCCUCCAUACUAAUAUGGUCUGAGUAUAAGAAAUAGCCCAGCCCAGCAACAAAUACCAUCCACGGGUCUUCCACUCAUUUGUGUUAGCUCUUAGGUGGGAAGCGUCUGUGCUUGUGAAAGGGGAGCAUGAUGAUGAGCCAUUAAGCCAGCUGCAGAUAAUGAUGCUUAUACAAACUGCAACAAUCGUUUUGAUCGCUGCACUGUGAAAACCACAUAGGUGGAAAUAUCCAUAGCUAUGCUUUUACCUCUCUGUCUACACAUACACGCCAGCAAGCUCUGUUUCCCAUGAAAGGUCAUUUUGCCUAAAGCAUUUCUUGAUUUCUCGAGCGGGUGAAAAAUAAUCAUGCACUUAGCAGGGAUGUGAUCCUUGCAAGAUGAGAUUUCCAAAGAUGGCUGUGACAAUCACAGCCUGUGUCUUCCAGGCAUUUUGCACACAUUAAGCCUCUGCCACAGCUAAGCAAACCAGUUUGCGCAAAGAAAGAAAAGAAAUCUCCCGGACUAUGUUGUCAUUCACUCUUCACUAUCAGGCUGCAGCUGAAAUGGGCACAGAAGGCCAAACUCUCAGUUUGAUUCGGAAUUGGGCUCAGCUAAAGCUCUUUUUACAUGUUAAAUAUGCAAAGGCGGCUUCAAGUGAUUAUUGGGUUUCUGGGCUGCACCACUGCCCCUGUCUCCAAGGGCACACAAUGUCAUGCAGCUCCUUUGGGCACACAUUGGACAGUGGUGAAGCCUAUGCUCAUAGAUUUUCCACAUGAGGUGAGGCCCUCUAGUGUAAUCUUUACUCCUGCAGACAUUCACAAUACACGGUCAUUGGAGGCAGGGCCAGGGAAGCUGUAUGAUUUGAGUGGCAGGAGCAGUGGUGUGGCUCUGUUUCCCCUUCAUCAUGUGGUCUUCCCCUCAUGUGUGAAGGGUGUUUAAGGCUCUGAUCUGGAGUGCACUUACUAGGCAGCAAACUGCAUUGAGCUCAAUGGGACAGUUACCCAAGCGAACAAGUAUAGGGAUUGUUUAGCAAUGCAAGUUUUUCUUCUUCCAGAAAAAUAUUUCUGGUUUCCUCCCCAAGCACAGUUCCAAAAUCCAGAAACUCUAUUGCAUUCUCAACAAAAUUAUUGGUAGCAUGAGGGGACCUUUAUGUGUCUCUCUUUCGUUUUCAUUCUUAAUUAUAAAUGCUGUAAAAUGACUAUGUACACAUUCAAUAAAGCAAAGAAUACAACACAUUGCUAUAUAUAGUAUAAUGAUAGCAGUUCCAAAGCAGCUCAAAAAACCAUCCACAGUGUGUUGAUUAAAACCCAAGAAAAUAAAAUAGUUUUUUAACCACCUGCCUAUAUUAUAUGAAGCUGGUGCUAGGCAAAUGUCAUUUUACAUGGUCUUAAAACACUGGCAGUCCUUUAUGUGUCUCUCAAUCCCAUUGAGCCUCUGUCCUUACAGUGCCACCUUCCCUUCACCCAAAACAUACCUAGUAGUGAAGGCAACCAGGAGGCCUCCCUGUGAGGCUUCUCUUUCCCUUUGGUACCUGGUUAAAUGAAAUGGCAGGGUGCUACGCUGGAGAUCCCAGGUCAUGCAAUUUUCCAGGACAUCUGAGUAGUAAGAAUCUGAGACACCCUGGGAACGAUACAUCCGAAGACUCUGUGUGUAUGGAAUACUGCUAAGCAUGCUGAUAAGUGUCCUGGAUGCAAGGUUUCCAGGAACAUGCACUUCCAGGAUGCCUAAUAUCCCUAUUUAAAAACUUAGGUACCCAGGAAAACAUCUUCCAGAGCUCUUUGCACAUGUUUAGAAUUUGGUUUCCAUUCUAAGCCAGGGAAGGCUUUCUCAGGAAACUUGCACUCUAUUUAAUGAGUGGGCCUGGUUUGCUUAGGACAAGGGUGCAGAAUCUGUGGCUCUACAGACACUGCUGGACUAAAACUCCCAUCACCCCAGGCCAUUGGGUAUACUAGCUGGGGCUGAUGCAAGUUGGAGUCCAAUCACAUCUAAAGGGCCCCAGGUUUCUCAUACCUUGUCUAGGAGCUUCGUAAUUCCCUUGUAACAGAGCAAGUGAGAAAACGUGGGCCAUGACAUGGGCCACAGAUGCCAUGACUUCAAAGCUGUCCCUUUGAUAUUUUAGUGGCACCUUAAUAGAACAACCAAGGUUUAUGGCAGUGCUUGUGUAGCCCCCAUGAUAGUUUCCUUUUUGGGGAAAAAUGCUAAUGCAAAGGAGAACUCAACUUUGCAAAAGUUAGCAUGACCUCUGAAAAGGUGCUCCCUUUUGCACCUUCCUUCUGGGAGGGAGCGUGGAACAGUGUGCAAAAUUGUUCGUGGUGGAAGGGAAGGAAAUGCAUUGGCUCACUGCCAAAUAAAACAAGGCUGGUACUCCUUGUAACCACUGCAGAAAUACAGGCACUUCAGCCAGGUGGUUUCAGCAAUAGAUGAAUAUGUUCCCUCUUAUCCCCUCUUAUUCAAAGAGAGGGCUUUGUUCACAAUGUGUUCCCUUAUUGGCUGAGAUCACACAAAGAAGACAAACUGUGCAUAGAGGCAAAGCAGUGCUUCUGAACAGCUAGCAAAUAUGUACAUUUGAUGUUGUCAGGCAUUGUAGGACCUCUGGAAGCCCCACUGUCAAGACAUUUUAUCAAAAAAAAAACAUCCUUAAUUUCCCCUGUUUUUCCCCUCCCCCUCCCCAUAAAGUAACCCCCCUCCACUCCCCCCCCAGACUUCCCUCAGCUCCUCUCUCUGGUUUAUCAACAAUUGUUAUUCUCUGCAUGUUACAAAAUUGUAUAGAUCCUUAAUUUAUCUAAUUAGCUAUUGCCAAUAAAAAGUUAGUGAGUGUUUAUUCAAAACCUGCCAAGGAGUCCAGUUCAUUUUGUUGUUUCUUUAAGUACUUUGUAAAAGGUUCCCAUUCAUCUUUAAAGUUACAGUUAUCCUUGUCCUGUAGCUUAUGUGUCAAUUUUGCCAAUUCUGCAUAGUCCAUCAGUUUCUCUUGUCGGGAUUUCCUCGUUCUUCCAUCUUUGUGCUAUUAAGACUCUUGCCGCCGUUGUCGCAUACAUGAAGAUAUUUUUCAAUUUCCUUGGCAGGUCUUUCCCUACAAUCCCUAACAUAAAUGCUUCAGGUUUUUAAACAAAUGUUAGAUGGAACAUUUUCUUCAAUUCAUUGUAUAUCAUUUCCCAAAACUUUUAAAUUUCAUUGCAAUCCUACCACAUAUGGUAAAAGGUCCCUUCCUUUUCUUUACACUUCCAACACACAUUUGAACUGGUUUUAUACAUUCUUCCUAGCUGCACUGGUGUUAUAUACCAUCUAUACAUCACCUUCAUAUAAUUUUCUUUCAACAAGGAACAAUCUGUAAAUUUUAAGUCAGUUUUCCAUAACCUUUCCCAGUCUUCCAACAUAAUAUUAUGCCCUAUAUCUUGUGCCCAUUUAAUCAUAACUGAUUUCACCUCUUCGUCUUUUGUCUCCCAUUCUAGCAGGAUGCUAUAUGUACCCUUCAAUAAUUUAACUUUCCCUUCUACCACUUCCCUUUGAAACUUGGAUAUUGUAUAACUGAAUCCUUUCUUGCUGUCUUCUUUGUAUGUUUCAUGUAAUUGUCAAUAGUGCAACCAACUCUGAAAAUGAUCUUUUAUCUCAUCAUAAUCUCUUAAUUUCCAUUUUCCAUCUUGGUCCUUUAACAAGUCAGCAUAUGUAAGCCAUUUUCCUUUCUUUCCAAGUGGUUUGAGCAGUAACGCUUCAUGUGGUGAAAGCCACCAAGGAGUCUUUUGUUCUAGCAAGUCUUUGUAUCUCUCCCAUACUCUCAUUAAUGAUUUCCUAAUUAUAUGGUUGUAAAAACUUCUGUGUACCUUUCCUUUCCCAUAGCUUCUGGCUCAUUUAUGACUGGGCUACUGAAGAGAGGCUACCCCACUCAUGAGCUUAAAUGAAGGCUCAGGUUGUAAAAAUGCUCAGCUCAAUGCAGAACCUAGGUCAAAAACUACAAAGCAACGGGCCAGCCUGGCAGCUUCCUGUAGUGGAAAUAGCAGGGCAAUGAAUUCUCUGAGACUUCCUGACGUCCUUUGUGGCAGAGAAAGGGUAGCUGGGCUUACUGCUAUUUCCAAUCAUCAAAAAUAACACAGAAGAAAAAUGUCUAAAAAAUGUGGGGGGGGGGAGAGACACCCUGAUGGGUGGUAUUUUUACAUUUGCUAGUAAAACGUCCAUCAUUUUGAAGUGUGGAAUGGUAGCGGGGAGAAAUAACAGAGUUUUGAAGAAGCAGACGACCUUUUAGCAACUGGUGGUAGUAGAGAUCAAGGAGUGAAGGUCAGAGGAGGGAUGUAUUGAGAAUAAGACUGGGGAGAUGAGGGACAAGGGUAUGGAAGACUUUGAAAGCAAGGACAAGGAGCUUGUACUAUAGCAGCAUUUCUCAAACUUGGGUCUCCAGCUGUUUUUGAACUACAGUUCCCAUAAUCCCUGGCAAUUGGUCCUGCUAGCUAGGGAUGAUGGGAGUUGUAGUCCAAAAACAGCAGGAGACCCAUGUUUAGUAAACACUGUACCACAGGGAUAGCCAGCAUGGUCUAUGGAGUCAUAGUCCAACAAUAUCUAGAGGCCCUCAUUGGUGAUUUCUGUUGUACUUGGAUCCAGAAGCACUCAGGAAACCAGUGCAGGGAUUUAUUCAGGGCCAGAGGGAUGAUUUUAGCAUGAGAGGCCUGGAUAAUCAAAAGGGAAGCAAGGCAAUAGAAUGUAAGUCAAGGGAGGAGAAACAUGCAGUAGACUAAUGAGAGCGGAGCUCUUGCUGAUGGGGCAGAGAUGCAAGGCCAUAUUCUUUUCAAUGCUUUGGAGGAAGAUGCAAUAUUGCUUGUUGAAAGGUUGAUUGUGAGGAACACAGGAGACAGAGGCUGAAAAUAAAGCCCAAGCUACAUCUCUGUUGAACAGGGUGGGUGGUAACAUGGCUGGUGAAUAAAGGGAACAGGUUCAUCUCUGUGGUGGUCCCUGCUUAUGAAAUUCUCACCUGACACCUACAUUACUAUCUAUUCAGUGACAGCUGAAUACCAUUUAUUCUCCCAGGCUUUUUAAAUGUUUAAACUCAUUGCUGCUAGCUUUUAAUCUCCUCUUUGUUAUUGUUUUUAGAGCUGCUAAUGUUUUCUGUUAUGAAAUUUGUUCUAUUCUUUUAUUGCAUAAGCUGCCUUGAUGCUUAUUUUGCAAAGUAGCACAGAAUAAUAUUAAAACAACACAAACAAUUAUCCUUUCCUUCUCUUUGGCUUCUCCUACCACUUUCUUACACCCCUUAAUGCUGACAGCUUAAAAAUAAAUGUGUUAUGUAAAAUAUAAAAUAAAAGCAACUUUCCAGUCAAGAUUCAGCCUUCCUAUUCCAUCUUGUCCCAUUGAAAUGAAAAGGCCACACUCCCCUCUCCUCAUGCACUCUGAAUAACCUAUCAAAUAAGCCCUCAAAUCUCCCCAAGCUCUUUCCCUUCCAGAGGGGAAGCCCUGUUGUGCUAAUGGGAGUCCUUGCACUGGUUUCUGCUAAGGCACCAGCUGGUUGAACCUGGCCCUAAGUAUUAAGCAGCCAGAGUAGCACAGUGACAAGAAUGUUGGACUUGAAUUGAUGAGAACAAGGUUAAAAUGGUAGGUUAGCCAUAAAUCUCACUGGUUGACUUUGAGGAAAUCACCAUCUCUCUUGAGUUGUGUGUGAGAUAAACAGGAGUCUGGGGAUAGACAUCAAGCAUGCUGCAGGAUAAAACCAACAAGGUAACACAUAAAUUGAAAAAUUCACAUUUUUAAAAAAACCCCCACACAUUCUUGGAAAUGUAAAUAUUUUUACAGUUAGGAGGUAGGAAUAAUUGUUUCUCUAUUUCUGCCUUUCCUUCCAUUAUCAGGAAGCACCAAAAGCAUAUUUUGUCAUCAAGGGACAAAGCUGAAAAUAAUGUGAAUAGUUGGGCCUCUGGUGAUAAUUCGCUUCCAAUUCUUCUUGUGAAUUUUAGCCCUUCAUACCAGGCAAGAGCUUAACUAUAGUGCUUUGCUUCAGAGAUGUUCAGGAGCAAUGGAGCGUGCCAGACUAUAUUGGAAAUUGGAACUCGGCUGUUGGCCUCUUUCCUUUUUUUCUUUUUCCCCCCUUUUCCCCUCCUGACGCUCGUCCUAUUCAAACAGUAAAUUUACUAUCUAAUCACAAGUUGCCAUGUCAUUCUAAACAGACUAAUGCAGGGGCUUCAAGCGAUGUAUAAAAUCAUCUAACAAGACUGGCAGCCACUAAAAUUACCCUGUGUUUGCUUUGUCAUUACCGAGGCAGCCUUUGAUUCUGAAGAAUUAGAAGCCUUAUUUGCAGUUCAGCACCUCUUGGCGUGAACAGCUACAGAAGGUGCACAGCAAUUGAGGUGUGGGUGAGGAAUGGAUCUCUCCAGUGGAGAGGGUUAAAUCUGGAUUCUGGAAAGUGAGCCUUGCUGCUGUGCUGAUUGCUUGACCAGGUUUUUGAAAUGCAAGGGAAUGCUUAUUCUCAACAACCUUGCACAAGAUCAUAUGUGUCCAUGGUACGCGGCUGAAAGUGAAUAUAUGGCACCUGAACAGGAAUCCUUAUUCACUCACGAAGGUGAAUAAUUUUUCAUGCUCAUUAUUUUACUCUGCCCAGCAGUAUGUAGCGCGGCAAGACGAAACAGGAAAGAUUCACACCCAUCUGGCUACUAUUAAAGAUGAACUAAAGGAGAAUUUUCCACCAGGAAGUGACCUUGUGGCUAGACUUCCACAUAAAAGUAGGUUCAUAAGAGUGGACGUACAUGAGUUAUGAAAACCUGAGGCUUACUAAAUACAAGUUAGCACAUUUUCAUCAUAAUAUCAUUCCACAAGGAACUCUAUGAAGACCCCAUUGCCUUUCCCUCCACACACUGACAUGGGACCCCUUCCUCAUGGUCGAGCUUUUUGGAAUUGUGCAUGAAUUAAUCCUAUAGGUAAGGCAAAUCACCUGGGUGAUUCUUGCCUAAUCAGCACCCUCCCAAGGGAUGGGUGAUGCUGAUUGGAUGGGGAAAUCACAUGUAAUUCACCUUGCGCACAUGGUUAUUUAUUGAUUAAUACACACUCCCCUAGAGGACUGAGAUGGAGACUAAAGAGGUUUCCUCUUUUUUUUGGUGGAGAAAAUUGCCAGACCAUUUCACCUUUUCUGUUUUUUCAAUUUCACAAUAUAAAUAAGUAUUUUGUUUUGGUAAUGAGAAAGAAAUGAAAAUUUGAAUCAACGAUUGAGACUGGUUACAAAAGAAAAACAAAGAAUAAUGAAUGGGGUGUGUCUCUGUUAUCCUAUUCACGCCCAUUCAGCAUUCGUUGAUGGAGGUUAUUUUCUCAGAAGUCUCUCAAGAGCUUUAUCCAGUUUGAUCUGGAGUCUUACAUAUUAAGGGGUGCAGAACAGGACUUGGCUUUGGAAAAAUGCAUUGCGGGAGAAAGAUAUCUAAUAAAAGUGAUUGUGAAAUCUUGUAUACAAUUUCAUGAGAAGAAAUUCUAAUUAGUUCAAUGGCUUGGGCUGACUUCUGAGUAGAGUAGACGCAUAAAGGAUUGCAUUGGGAAUGUGUUCCUUUAAGAAUAUUGCAUAAGCCUGAGCAUUGCCUUAAAAACAUAUUUAAUUUUUAACAGAAUGACACGUUACUCUCUAUUACAUGAAAUAAAUCAAGCCUGUAUAAAAGAUGCAUAGGCUGACAUUUCCCUACAAGAUUAGUAUUUGCAUGACAAAAGCCAGCAGCAGUGGCAAAAAAUAAACAUUACAAAACUGAUGUUGAGAGGAAUACACACACACACAAUUGACACAAAGCAGCAAUUUUAGACAAAAUGAGGUUUUCCCCUAUCACUCAACCAUCAAUUACCAGUUUCCAAUUAAGUCUUCCCAUCAAGAAAACAGUUUUUAUCAUUAUUUUUUUCUGAUAUGCCAAAGCAAACAUUUGUCUGUUGACCAAACUUCAGCAUCUUAGAUAGAGAAACACUUUACAAUGAAUCCAAAUGCAUAAUCAAACAUUCACUUCAAACAAAAAUUGUUCACAACAGAGAUGAGCUAUUCCAUCCUCUGCAAAUAAAAUUCCAUCACCUUAUUAAAAUAGAAUUUCUAUGGAUGGCUCACCUCAGCAGGGGAGCUUAACCAAACAUUUACAGGGGCUUUAUCAUCACCACCACCCUCACUCAUUGCAUCAUAGUAUAAACAAUUGUUUCAACUGGCCAUCUACACCAAUAGAAGAUGCCUAGUUCUAAAAGUGGCAGAAGGUGGAAAGACACUAUGAAGAAGCUCCUCAUAGCCCUAUAAUAUCAUACCAUUAGCUGAUGGAUUUUGGGGUUGUUAGCAUAAUUCCCCUAAAAUGUAAUUUAAAAAACCACAAUUGCAUGUGAUUUCUUUGCCUUCCUCGUUGAGUGGCUUUAAAUACUUCAAUAGGAAUACUGGAUUUAUUUGACAGCGACAAAUGGAUUUGUCAUUCAGAAACAUACCGGAAAGUAACAAAGGUAGCUAAAAAUCUAUUAUUGCACUGACUGACAUACAAGCAGAUUAUUAUUGAGUGUUGCAGCUGUAAGUCAACAUUAUGUACCUAAUAGGAAAGGUCUAGUUUAGAACCACAAAAGCCAAGAAAAAUAACCCUGAACUUUGGAAGUAAUUGUGGCUUUUGGAUUUCUCCCCCCUGAACCAACACAGAUUUUGAUCUGUGUGUAAUUUUUAGUUUCCAUUUAUGUCAGAGUUGGCCAGCUGGAGGCCUCAGGUAGUGUUUGUUGUUUCUUCUUCUUCUUCUCUCCCCCCCCCAAUUUAUUUUAUGACACACAUUAAAAAUAAUAAUAAUAAUAAUAAUAAUAAUAAUAAUAAUAAUAACAACAAAACAUAAUCAACACUAAAACUUACAAAAAACAAAAACAAAAAACAGAGAAAUACAGCUAAAACAUUGUUACUUACAAAAAUUUAUACAAACAAAUGAACAUCAAUAUAUAUAUACCAUACUUCAUUUUUUCUUUUUUUCCAAUUGACUUUCUUCACCCUCAACAUGGUUCUCUUUUCAUUUUUGAUAAACUGUUUCCUUCUUAAUUCCUUACUACCUCUUUUUCUUUCUGUUUUUGACUUACAUACCUUCAUUUAUUUUGCGGAAGUUAAUCGAAACAAGUCCAAGUAUUAAUUUGAGGGCACUGCUUUUAAAGAUAUUCUCUAUAUUUCCCCCAGUCUUUUUGAAAUUUUUGUUUGGCUUCUGAUAGCUUCUGUCAAUCUGGUCAAUUCAAUAUAAUCCAACAAUUUAUCUUGCCAUUCUUUUUUUGUUGGUGUUAUUUCUUUUUUCCAGUUUUUGGCAAUUAAUGUUCUUGUGGCCUCUGUAAGCUUAAAAUAUAUAUUUUUCCCUCCGGCUAGUGUUUGGGCACUGGUUGGGGUGAAUGACCACUCCCCACAUCAAAUGGGGGGUGUCUUUUGCAUGGUUGUUCACAGCCCCCCAGACCCUAUGCGGCUCCUGGCAGUACAGUCUGGCUUUGCCCUCCCCAGGCUGGAUACCUGGAGGUCUCCGCUUACCUCAGCCAAUUGCCCAAUACCAUCUGGGAAGGCUUUGCCAGGGGAUUGGACGAGGUAGGCCCUGCCCACACAAUAGAGGGUGGAUCUCCUUCUACUGGUCCACAAUAGAAAGUGUCCUUUCAUACUGCAUCACGGUGUGGUAAGCUGGUUUGACAUCAACUGAUAGGAAGUUCCUACAGAGGGUGGUGAAUACAGCACAAGAUAUUAUGGGCUGUCCCGUGAAUCUGCUGGAUGAAAUAGCGGAAGAACGUUGCCUCAGGAGAGUGAGGAAAAUUCUCAGGGAUGAUUCACACCCUGGCUGGCACUUUCUUGAUCUCCUGCCCUCAGGCAGAAGAUAUAGAAGCAUGAUUAGUCGCACCAAUAGGGUAAAGAACAGCUUCUAUCCGUGGGCUGUUAGGCUGCUGAAAGAAAAGAUAACAACAGGGCAACUGAUUUUCGGGUUUGGUGGGUGUGCUUCAGUAAACGAGGGGAAUUAAGACUAAGAGAGCUGAGUGGGGGGUGCUCGUGUAAUCUCACUGUAUACAAGUUGUACAAGUGACAAUAAAGUAUUUCAAUUUCAAUUUCAAUUCAAUCUUACCUGGGAAUCAUCAGUUGGCUCCAGAGAGUGAGUGUUGGGGUGAAUGUGUAUCUGCCAGAUCCAAAGUUCUUGCAUUCCCCCCACAUGCUCAAAGAACCAACCUGACAAUAUACCAUCCCUGGGGCUGAAGUAGGUAUUUUGCUCCCUCUCUCCCACCCACCUACCAUGGCUAUUGCAAAAUGGCAGGACAUGGUGCAGCAGUCACUCUGCUUGCUGACUUUCCUCUCAUCUUAAUGCCUCAAUGGUGAAUUAAGAUUACUCUGCUAAAUCCCCCCCCCCAAUCUGUUUGAAUUAAAACAACAACAGCCAACUGCGGGAGUGCAAUUAUGCACAUGAGAAUUAAAUAUAUAAGCAAUUAAAAUCUAGUGUGUUGGCAAUCAAAGGAAAAAUACAAACAUCAAGGAAAGAGAAAGUCACCUAUUUGGAGAAAAAUAAUAACAACAUUUUAGAUUAAAGACUUGGAUAUCAGCAAUUAAAGAAGGAAAAUGAUGUUUCUUUUAUUAAAAGGAUGAACGUGCUGCAGCUCUUGGUGAGGAAAUGGCUGCUUCUAGAAAGCAUUUUAAUUCAAACGAAUGCUGCCAUUUUAAAUCACUCCUCCCACAAUAUUCUGCUUGAAGUUCUGAUCCCUUGGAUUUGGAUAUUUUAUUUUAUUCUCCUGCAGGAUCACAAAUGAGCUUCUGUAGUAAGAUCCAAGGAAAGCCAUAAAUUUGUUUGAAGAAACAUGCUGGGGGGUUGUUGCAUGUAAUUCCUUACCUUCAUUUAAAAACCGGCAGCUCCUGCCAGAAAAUAUACAAGGGAUAUCCCCCAAGGGAUGUCAGAAUGGCAGAAGAACAAUAGAGCAUAGCUGGAAGAAUACAUUCACCUGGGAUUGUUGUUUUGUUUUAUCGAUGGUAAUUUGUCUAUACGCAAAGGCGAAAUAUUAAGAAAGCUAUCAGAAAUAACUACUGGAAGAAAACCCUCUUUAUACAAAAAUAAUUUUGUACCAAACCUAUAAAUAACAGGCUGUGUGAUCACUGCAGUUAGAGUUCUUUUUGUUAAACAUUAGAGGGACUAUUGAACUCCCACACUUGAAGAAUGGGAGACAAGAUUGCAGCAAUGUGCCAUUAUGAUUAAAUGAACACCCUUCAUCAUGUCUAAGGAAGGGAGACAAAAGUGUAAUCUCUUUAAUGAAAAUUGGCAUUUUUUGGAAUUGAUUACUGGCGUAGCGAUGCACAUGCAUCAACUAAUGUUCAUCAGGUAUUUAAUUUGUUAUAAAUCAUCAGCAUUAUGGGAAAUAAUAGUUUAUUCUUGUAUAUAUGUUUACUUAUGCCUAAACUGUAGCCUGUGUUGUAAUUCUACAAGAACCUGCAGGUUGUGAGAGAGGAGCAAGUCCGACACACACAAUGCAAUGUUUCUAUUUGGGUGAUAUUCAACACUAAUCAUAUUCAGAGUUGAUCUACUGAAAUAAAUGGACUUGGGAUAUUUAAAUCCAUUGGUUUGAAUGGGCCUGCUAUAUGGCUUGGCUGGAUAUCACCAUUUAGUUUUUCUAUGGAAAGACACAACAUGAGCUACUUCAUAAUUCCAAAGUCCUGAAUGGCAUCACCAACUUUACUAUAGAGCAUGUUCUCUAGAUGGCUGUCCAUAUGUUGUUCAACAGCCUUCAGGCCUAGGCAGAAUGACCAGUGGUCAUUGGUGAGUCAAUCGCCUGGAUGGCCACAGGUUCAGCAUCCUUCUUUUAAUAAUAAUAAUAAAUUAUAUCCCACCCUUCCCCUCAAAGAAGCCCAGGGCAGCAUGCAACAAGUGAUAAAGAAAUAAAAAGUUCUUAGAAACAGUUCCAGUACCAAUGCAAACUGGGAAGAAUCUCAACUUGUUGGAAGAGGGAGGUUUUCAGUAGGCAGUACAGUGGUACCUUGGGUUACAGACGCUUCAGGUUACAGACUCCACCAACCCAGAAAUAGUACCUCAGGCUAAGAACUUUGCUUCAGGAUGAGAACAGAAAUCGUGCAGCGGCGGCGUGGCGGCAGUGGGAGGCCCCAUUAGCUAAAGUGGUACCUCAUGUUAAGAACAGUUUCAGGUUAAGAAUGGACCUCCGGAACAAAUUAAGUUCUUAACCAGAGGUACCACUGUAAAAAGACAACAGAGAUGAUGCCUGUCUAAUAUUUUAAGAGAGGCAAUUAUAUGGAGAGGUGCCACAGUGCUAAAGGGCUGAUUGCUACAUUGUGCAGAAUGGACUUUCUCAUCAGAUGGUUUCUGUAGUAGAGGCUCACCUGCAGAGCAAGGGAUUGAUGAGUAUAUAGAGGGUGAGAUGAUCUUUCAGGUUAUUUAGCAUUUGACCACUCAUGCUACGGGACUUGACCAACAAUGAGGUCAGAUUCAGUGGCAAAACACAUUUUUGGCUCAGGGACCACUGGCUAGAGGAGGAUGCUCCCCCAAGAAUUGGAAGCUGGCCAUCCUGCCUUAGAUUAAAUCCCAUUAAAUGAAGCUGAUCGCUUCAGGGUGUGAAUUAUUUCAGACCAGUGACAAUAAUGCCACCUACUUGGGCAACCAGAAUUAGUUACUUUCUGGAGCCUAUAAAGAAAGACCCUGCUUGUCAAAGAUCCCCUGUUCGAUUUAUGGUCACACUUCCCAUUGUAAUAGAAAAAUCAAUACAGCACAAGUAAAUGGUGAUUUCCACCUCAUCCCCUUAGCCUGAAAAGGAUAUGAUUAUUAGACUUGCAGUCCUUUCUUUUUGGACAGCGGCUCUGUGUUUUUAACACAUACAUUGCAGUUGGUGGUAGGGAUUCAGUAGGUGCAAUGCUCACAGUGAGCAUCUUCUUACCCGAUGAAAGCAGCACCUGUUUAAUUUCAACCCACCGUGCAGCUGUUCUAACCAGAGAGCUUUUGCCAUUAAAAGCAGCAGCAACUGGUUCCAAACUCUUGGAAUUAUUAAAGGCUUCUUUCUGCCUUGCUUUCAGCUAUUUUGGUUGUAUGCUGUUGUCAGUUAGUAUCAUACAGAUUGGAACAGCCAGAGUCUUUCUGUGCCUUUCUCUGAUUGCUUCAGGGCCAAAACAACCCUUUGAAAGAAUUCAAGUGUCUCCAACCCAUUAAAUGUAGCUAAACUCCUUGUCUAGUGCUAUUUCGGAUUGAUCUAAUUGGUCCAAACUCUUGGGUGUGAUGCAAUGCCUUCCUAUUAUCCCUUCAAAUAUUGCUCUAGACAACAAAUGCAUAACCAGGGCUGUUGUACUUUGAAGUCAUUGUCAAGACUAGGUGUGAGUGAGUCUGUAAAUUUUGGUUCCUCUCGGUUUCUCAGUUUUUACCAAUCUUAAAUUCAGUUCUUUACAUUUGCAAAUCAGCUUGAGAUUGAAAAACAUCACUGGGAGUUUUCUUCUGGAUAUUAUUAGAAAGACACAGAUAUAAUGUAUAGAAAUUCUUACUACCUAUGACCAACAACAAUCCCGCCCCAUGCUCCUAUUUCCACAAAAUUCUUUUACCCAUACUUUAAUGAAAGAAAUUUCUGUUGAUCAAUGAAUUACCGUAGUUUUCAGUGUAUAAGACGCCCCCUACUUUUGGAGAUUCCAAUUUAAGAAAAUUGGAGGGGGGGGGGAGAUGGCCCAGAGUUGUUGAGAUUUUUUGGGGGGGAGGAUUGCCAAAGUUGUGAAGCUUUUUUUGGGGGGGGGGAGGAUUGCCCAGAUUUGUUGAGCUUUUUUUUUGGAUAAUAAUUAGUAUUAUUUUAUUAUUAUUUAGCAUUUUAUUUUCUCUUAGUGAGUGAUGAGAUUUUAUUGUUACCAGUCAUACUACACAUACCGUAGAACCUUUGGCCUUCCAGAUGUUGUUGAAUUGCAAGUCCCAUCAGCUCCAGCAAGAAUGGCCAGUGGCCGGGGAUGAUGGCAGUUGUAGUUCAUCCACAACUAGAGGACUACAAGUUCCCAACACCUGCUAGAGAGCUUAGCGUUAGGUUUCUUGUUGUGCGAAUUUACCCCUGCCUUCCUUUGGCAAGUUUGUUUUGAUUAGCAAUUUGCAUUUGAAUGUUAAGGAUCUGCUCAUUAAAACAAAUUAUCCUGUGGGUUUGCAGACUGUUUUGCUUGACAGCACGUUGUGGAAUUGCUGCUUGCAUGAUUUGAUUGCAAUGAAAUGUUGGGUAUGGUAUAUCAGGGUUAGUAUGGUUAGAAAUAAAACUGAUGUUUGAAUCGAGAAUGGCAUAGUUUUGCCACAGGGACCACAAGAUAGUUGGCAUGGCUCUUUAUGACUCUUUUCAAGCCACUCCAUUUAUUGCUUUCCCAUUCUCUUAUCUUGGAUAAGAGGAGACUGAGAGAAGAUAUGAUACCCAUCUUCAGAUAUCUAAUGGGCUGUCACAUGGAAGAUGUAGCAAGCUUGUUUCCUCCCACUCUGGAGGCCAGGACUUGAACCAGUGGAUUCAAAUUACAAGAAAGGAGAUACUGAGGGUGUUGUGGUACUGUCUUUGUUUUCUAAAAUUGCAAAUCAUGUUCAGAAAGCUGCUCUGUUUUGCUAUUACAUUUUGCUCCACUGGCCUUUUAGACAAUAUAUUUGGCUGCAUAGACACUGUACCUUUAAAGCUCACUCAAAGAACAAACAUUUUCCCCUCAAAGAAUCCUGGGCACUGUAGUUUAAGGGUUGCCGGGGAUUGUAAAUCUGGAAGGGAUAAACUACACUGCUCAGAAUUCUUUGAAGGAAAUAAUGUGCUUUCAAAGUAUAGUGUGUAUGCAGCCAUAGGCUUACUUGAAAGGGAUGUUUACAAAGGAUUUAUAAGGAGGUAAUUGUGCACUGUGAAGUUUCCAGAGAAAACUUCGCAUGCCAGUUCUUGACGGGCUUGUAACCAGGCGUUACUGCUACUGACUGAAUAAGGAUAUGUUUCUGACACACAGUGUUGCUCUGUAUGCCAGUGAAGCUUGGAAAAUUUGAGAAACAUUUGUAUCCAGCCAUUGAAUUAACCCCUGUAAGACACAUUAUAUCUCUUUUGUGAUAACCACAGGUUUCAAAUUUAUAAAUGGAAUAAAACUUGGGCAAACAUGGUAGUAUUCUCUCUCUCUCUCUCUCUCUCUCUCUCUCUCUCUGUGUGUGUGUGUGUGUGUGUGUGUGUUUAAUGAUCACUUUGGGCAGACUCAAACAUCAACUUUCUUUUGGCGAUUUUUUCAGUGAUUGUUCUGAAAGUGUUUGUAUUGUCCUCACUCUUAAUUGACUUCAUUUGCCUUUAAUGAUAUAAUCACAUAGCCAAAUAUGGCUAUAUAUGACAUUUUGUCAUAUCCUAUGACCUGCGGGGGUAGGGCAGUAUACAAAUUCAUUCAUUCAAUCAUUCAAUCAAUCAAUCAAUCAAUCAAUCAAUCAAUAAUAUUCACUAUGUGAUAGUCACAUGUGUGAUUUCAGAAAUUUGGAUAAUUCAGAACGUGGCAAAAUCAGCAAUUAAAAGUGGGGGGGGCAUCCUUGCAGCUGAAGACAGAUGAAAUAACGGUAGCGAACAGGAUUGUAAAAAGAUGAAACCUACUCACCAUUAAUUGGCUUUUAAAAAUUAACAGGGUUUCAGGAAGUAUUUCUGUCUGAAAGGACUACUUUGAAAGAUCAAAAUGGGAGGAUAUUCAAGCCUUAUUCAGGCAUUUCAUAGACCUGUGAGGGCUAACGGGGGAGGAGAGGGUGGAUAUUUGUACCCUGUGCCCAGUGCUCCAGUUCUUAUGUUCCCAUGUUCUUUGAAGGGCUGUAGUGGGAUUCUAAGAAUGUUCAGCUGACAAUGCUUAGAAUCUUCCCUGCACCAGGGAGCCUGACUAAGACAGAUCUCUGUGCAUGGAGGUCUGAAGCUUCUUCCUGUGAGGUGGUGGAAGUAGGGCUAACUUGUGUACUCCUGAAAGGGCAUGACAUGAACAAAGCAAAAGAACACAUGGAGAUGACAUGCUCUUUCCAAAAGCUGCAUUUGACCAUGUCGGAUUGGAUGUUUUGUUUAGCCUUUUGAGUAAAAAGAAAUCAGUCUUCCUUCAUCAGAUUCAAUAACCUUGUUUUAAUAACAUGUUAAGAGCAUUUUGCUGAUUAACAAAUGCAAUAUAACUCUUGUCAAAAUCAUCUUUGAUCAAAGCAAAUGCAGUAAGUGUUGUAGUACAUCAUGCAAAGAACUCAAUUUUGACUCUCUUUUUUGGUGUGUGUGUGUGUUUAGUGUGCACAAGCAGAUGGAAGGCAGGGUUUAUAUAUUAGCCAGUCAUAAGAAUCUGCUUUGAAGUAUUGAGUAUGGUACCCAGGAACAAUUUAAAAUAUACUUGGCUGAUAUCAGGUGAGGUUGGGGGGGGGGGAAUCAAACGUGGUAUCCAGGGUCUUUAAAAUAGUAUUAGCCUCAAAUAUUGCACAGUUUGGAACCAGUGGGUGAGUUUAGUUUCCUAUAAUCUCCAGGCUCCUAUACCAAUGUAAUUCUGAAAGACGAGUGUACAUCUUUUAAGGUGACAGCACAGCAUUACAUUACAUGUAAUGUCUCACCAGUGAAAUGUCAGCUUCCUGGAUGUUUUUGAGGUUUGUUUUUUUAUUCACAACUUUGCUAUUAAGGCAUAAUUAAAUUUUUUAAACGUGAGUUUUCCUGGCACACCCCCAAUAAAAGUAUCAUUUUAUUUCCUCGGCAAUAGAGCUAAAUUUGAUUGGUCUACGAUUCUCCUGCCUUUAGGAAAAUUGCAACAUGAAAAAUCAUAUGAGAGAAAGUGGGGCAUGUUGGCAAGCCCUGCUCCCAGCCAGAUGUGCCAUCUUCCCCUUUGUGCUGUGCCCAGGGGUAACCUGUGAAAUGCAGUCCAGGACUGGUCCAGAAUCCAAAGGUUCUGCUAGGAGUCAGUCCAACAGGGCCAAGGCAGGAAACCAGGAAAGGACAGGUACAGGAUCUCAGGCAGGUUCUAGCAUACAGCAAUGUUGCUCCCGCAACCUGGGGCAGGGUCCAACAGCCUUUUAUCUUUGUCGGGGUAACGGCCGGUCCUGAUCCCCCAGUGACUAACCUCCCUGUUUUGCCCAAAGGCGAGCACUCCUCCUGCGAGUACUCGGGUCUCUCCUUCUCUCAGACCUUAGUCUCUGCAGCUCGGGAGACGUCGUGGGUUACUAGACCCAGGGGCCACCUCAGCCUCCCCUGACCCAACCGGUAGAGGAGCAGCUGUAAGUGAUGGCCAAGCUGAAGGCAACAAGAAUUUUAACAGGGAGAAUGAAUUUUAACAGGGAGAAUGAAUUUUAACAGGGAGAAAUGUAAAGUAUUGCACUUGGGCAAAAAAAAAUGUGAGGCACAAAUACAAGAUGGGUGACACCUGGCUUGAGAGCAGUACAUGUGAAAAGGAUCUAGGAGUCUUGGUUGACCACAAACUUGACAUGAGCCAACAGUGUGACGCGGCAGCUAAAAAGCCAAUGCAAUUCUGGGCUGCAUCAAUAGGAGUAUAGCAUCUAGAUCAAGGGAAGUAAUAGUGCCACUGUAUUCUGCUCUGGUCAGACCUCACCUGGAGUACUGUGUCCAGUUCUGGGCACCACAGUUCAAGAAGGACACUGACAAACUGGAAUGUGUCCAGAGGAGGGCAACCAAAAUGGUCAAAGGCCUGGAAACGAUGCCUUAUGAGGAACGGCUAAGGGAGCUGGGCAUGUUUAGCCUGGAGAUGAGGAGGUUAAGGGGUGAUAUGAUAGCCAUGUUCAAAUAUAUAAAAGGAUGUCACAUAGACAGAGAAGCGGACACGGAGCAAUGGAUCCAAACUACAAGAAAGAAGAUUCCACCUAAACAUUAGGAAGAACUUCCUGACAGUAAGAGCUGUUUGACAGUGGAAUUUGCUGCCAAGGAGUGUGGUGGAGUCUCUUUCUUUGGAGGUCUUUAAGCAGAGGCUUGACAACCAUAUGUCAGGAGUGCUCUGAUGGUGUUUCCUGCUUGGCAGGGGGUUGGACUCGAUGGCCCUUGUGGUCUCUUCCAACUCUAUGAUUCUAUGAUUCUAAGGUAAUCCCCGCAUCUGGAGCCAGGGCAGGCUCAGGCCCCUGACUCGUCUCAGCUGGUGUUUGUUGCAGGAGAACCUGUGCAGACUGGGACUCUUCAGGAUUAGGCCCCAGACUUGGUUCAGAUAAUGCCCGAGGCAAAGGAUCAAGUGCAGACUGAGUCUCCUCUGGUUCUGAGUCUGAGCCCGAGUCCCAGGCCAUCACACCCUUGUUGGAAGCGCUCUGUGAGUCGAAAGGCAAAUUAGAGUGGCUCCAGUGCGAUUUAGAGCCAUAAUUCUUCAAUUAAUAAAAAAACCCCCUAUUAUUCAAUGGCUCAUAUUCUAAUCUGAAUUCAGGGUUGCUAAUGCUUGCUUGUUUGAGCAAGCAUUAGGAGUCCCAGCACCACCACCAUUUUCACCUGAGUCCUAGAGAUAUUGCCAGCAUUUCUCGUAAGGACUCCUUCAAAAUGUUGUUGUCACAAUAGACCACACUUCCUUAACCAACAGGAAGUGUGAUUUGAAGCUAUGUACAUAUAUUAUUGGCACAUUUAUUCCCCCCCUUCUUCUUUACAUAACUGGGACAGAGAACUUCCAUACAAUAAAACAUAAAUUUUAAUCUAAUUAAAACAGGAAAAGCACACAGCUCAGUGCAUCGUUCUGUCAGCUCCUAUAGAAAGCCAUUGCAUAAAAGUCAAGAUGGAAGUCUCUGAUAAGUGGGGAAUUCACUCUCACAAGGUAUUAGAAGUGGAAGGAGCACUAACAGUAACUCACCCGGUACCUUAAAUGAAUUCUAUUAGACUGUGAAAUAAGACACCUUUCCUAGGUCAUCCCAGGGAAGAGAUCGCUAGGCAUUUCAUAAAUUACUUUUAGAGGUACAGUGUUUUGGAAAGGGGAAUAAAGCAAAAUUGGGUUGUGAGCCUAAGAAUGCUUUCUUGAGAUUAAGCUCCCAUUGAAAUUGAUGGGGCUCGCUUCUAGUAAAUCUAUUUCAGCUAACAUGCCCUUCAAAUGUCAAACAUGAAAAUAUUAUUUAUUAUUUCUGUUUACACAUCACAGAACGGUUCACAAAUGUAAGUAUAAAAUGCAUGUCUUAUGCUAUUUGUUUUUUCCAAUCAAUGCAUAAAAGUAACAUAACAUCAGCAGCAGCAAGAAACAACAGCAGCCAAAAUGGGACGCUCUUGUGGACUGCUAAUACACUUGACUGCCAUGCCAACGAUCACAACUCAAGCCACAUAUUCCAUGAUUAGACAUUACAUUCACAGAUAAUAAAAUAAUUGAAUUGUAGAGUUGAAAGGGACUCUGAGGAUCAUCUAGUCCAGGCUUCCUCAAACUUGGCCAUCCAGAUGUUGUUGGCCUACAACUCCCAUGAUCCCUAGCUAGCAGGUCAGGGAUGAUGGGAAUUGUAGUCCCAAAACAUCUGGAGGGCCGAGGUUGAGGAAGCCUGAUCUAGUGCAACUCCCAGCCAUGCAGAAAUCUUUUGCUCAACUGGGGCUUGAACCCAUGACUCUCAUGCUCUACCAACUGAGCUAUCCACAGGGUGUAAUCUAUAUGCAUUUAUUCUCCAAUGGCUUGUCUUCCAUAGGCUUCUGAAGCAACUUGAGCUCCAUUUUGAAAACUACAGCAAUCAGUUUGCAAUUAAGCACAACAACCAUCUUGCAAUCUUUAGUUCAGAUUCUUGUAUUGCAGGGGGUUGGAAGAGAUGACUGUUGGGGUCCCCUCCAGCUCUGCAAUUCUUUGAUUCUAUGAUUCUAAGCACUCACCUAAUCAUCUUUGGAGAGUAACUGUCUCCAGUGAUCAGCUAGUCUCUAAAACCAAGGGAGUGGAUUUAUUCAUUCAUUUCAGGAAGUGCCCAAAAUUAUAUAUUAUUAUUAAUAAUAAUAAUAAUAAUAAAUAAAUAAUACAGUCAUACCUCGGGUUACAGAUGCUUCGGGUUGCGUUUUUUCAGGUUACCAAUGCACCGAAACCUGGAAGUACCGGAACAGGUUACUUCCGGGUUUCGGGGGUCGCGCAUUUGCAGAAGCUCCGAAUCGCAACUCAUGUGUGCGCAGACGUGACGCUGCGGGUUGUGAACGGGCCUCCUGCACGGAUCACGUUCGCAACCCGAGCGGCUCCAAUCUGGUGGAACGCUCUGCCACAAGUGACUAGGGCCCUGCGGGACCUGACAUCUUUCCGCAGGGCCUGCAAGACAGAGCUGUUCCACCAGGCCUUUGGUCAGGGCACAGCCUGACCCCCUCCUCUGGCAAUCUGCACAGAAUUUUGCUUAAUGGUUGCCAUCAAUUUGAUUUUAAUUAAUUUUAGAAUGAAUGUUUUUAGAAUGUUGGAUUAUUUUGAUUGUUGUUAGCCGCCCUGAGCCCAGCUUCGGCUGGGGAGGGUGGGAUAUAAAUAAAAAUUAAUAAUAAUAAUAAUAAUAAAUUUUAUUUGUACCCUCCCCGGCUGGACUCAGGGCAGCUAACAUCAUAAAACUAACACAGUAUAUACUGUUAUGCAUGAGCAGAACAUUUUCGUGAGCGAGUAUGUUCUGCAGAUUUUUAUUCAUUUGCAACCCAAUUCACUCCAAAACAAGAGUGGCAACAACCUGAAGAAUGUUUAAUCUCACAAUGGAUGUGGCUGUAUGGAACAGAUUCAGCUCAAAACAUUUAGCAACAUUUACUAUCUGGAAAGGCAGUGAUUCUUGGAUGGAAGAGAAGCAGUGCUCUGGGAUUUUGCGUUCAUGAGUACGCAUUUACAUACAUAUACACACUAGAAUCAAAAUGGAUCCAAUGUAGAGAUUGAGGUUCUGGAGAUUUCUCAGGGAGAUUAGAAUCCUGAAGACCAGCAACUCCACCAGUUUAGACUAAUGGCAUAUUUUAUUUUAUUUUUAAAUCCCCAUCCCUCCAAAAUACAAAAUAGAGCCAAUAAAUUUGCAGGUACAAGAAAACAGAGACUGUGCCUGAUGCAAGCAGUUGAGUAAAGGGGAUAAGAAGGAAAUUUCAACAUACCCAGCAAGACACAAGUUUGCAUUUCUUUUUCUGAAACAGAUUCAUAUUGCUGUUUCAUAUUCAGAUUAUAACCUGGAAACCCUGGAACCUGUUCUUUAGAUUCUUUCCCACAUAUAUUCUAAUUUAUAUUUGUUAGAUAUAAUUUGACUACCGUUCAGUGCUGCAGAUUAACACUGGCAUUUCAUCUCCAGAAUCCAUGCAUUUCUUUCAAAAUCUGUAUCAUCCGCACAUUUUGAUGGACACAUCAACGAUCCACAUCAUUUAUGAGGAUGUUGAGCAUCACUGGAGUGGAGCACCACUCUUUAUCUCUUCCCUGUCUGACAUUGAUCCAUGAACUAGCACUUGCUUCUGGCAAAGUGAGCUCUGGGGUGAUGUGGUACUUUGCGCCUUUCUAACCAAAGGGAUAAAUAGUAUUAAAAGGCAAUUAAAAUGGUAUUACCUCCCUUUUAUUGGUUUCCCAGGUGAGCAAUUGCAGUGGAUAAUUCAAGAAAUGUUAAGAGCUUAUGAAAGUAAGAAUCGAUGUUCUAUCUGCUCAACAACUAAAACAAAACAACACACAAACGCUAUCUGAAAGCUAGAAUUAUUCACCUCUCCCUGUCCCCAAAGGGGGGAAAAAUAGAACUAAACUUGGGGGAGGGGAGUUUUGUGGACAUUUUUGUUUCCCAUUUUUUUCUGUGAAAAGAGAAGGGGGUUGUUUGUGGUGCUGGAAACUUUGUUGUAGUAUAGGCUCUCACUCACAAUGAUCUCAGGGGUGGGAGGGGAUCCUCAGGUUUGCCAUUACAAAUGCCAACAUCCCAAACUUUAGCAUCACCACAAAUCUGUGAUGACAAUUUGAUAGCUACACAUUGCAGUAGGACAUUGUUAAAACGGGUGGAAAAUUAUGAUGGGCUGUAUCUGCUCUCCAAACAUAUGUCUCCCUUUUAAAUGGAGACUAGAAUGCUACUGAAAUUUCAUUUUUUUAAAAACGAAGUUUGGCAUUUUCUCAUCAGGUGAAACCAAAUGAUUUACAACGGCUGUGUUGAAAUGUUGUGGUUGACUGUGGCUUAGCAUUACAUUAAUGAGCCUAGGGUUCAUUCAUUCUCUUUCCCCAUCAGACGCUGCCAUAAGAGGAAGUUGUAAUCUUCUGCUUUCAAUUAGCCGUGUUAUUCUUACCAAUGGAACUGUAGUUAAUUUUACCCAUGGUUUAUUGAGAAAAACCAGUUUUGAAUCUUGGUUUAGUGGCCAGCAGGGCAGAGUGAGGUGGGGAAGUGUUGCUCACCUGACUUUCUGACAUGAAGGUUUCUGCCAAUAACCUAAAGGGGGAAGGACGAGGCAGCGGAGAGGUCAGUGUAGUGUGGGCACAACAUCAUAUUCUCCCACUGCUCUGCCCAUUCUGUGCCAACUGCCCUGCAGCCUUGCCCCUCCUCCUCUCGAUUACUGACAGUUAGGAAGUCAGGCAAGCCAUGUCUCCUCACCCUGCCGCGCCCUGCCAGCUGCUACUGCUUCUGAAGACUUUGGAGGGCAGCUUUAAGUCUUGGGCUGGUGACAUGUCAGAGCGAACUCUCAGACAUCUCUAAAAUUGUCCCAGUGGCACAUCCAAAGUCAGAUAGUUCCAGCUGUUCUGCUAUUCAGGGUUCCUUCCCAAAUCUUUCAGUGGAGGCCUGCUGUUGAUGUGAGACAUCGCUUUAUGUUUCUGAGGCUGGAGUCACAUAUUUCCCAGGGAAGCAGUGUCUUUCUGACAGCUGUGCCAAUAUUUUCAACAUUUUUGGGGGGUGGGGGUGGGUGACGGGCAGAAAGAAACCACCUGAUGAAAGAAGAGGUUGAUGUGAGAACUAUGGAGCAAUUUUUGAGCGGGGAUGGGGGUGGUUUGUCUCUUGCUCUUGCCUUCCAAUAUUGAAGUGCAGUCAUAGGGUGCAUAGUCUUGCAUGCACUGUUUAAAAAGAUACAUGCAGGUGCUUCACAUUGACCAGCUUAAUAACAUCUCUGCGCUUUUUUGUUAAAUGAAACUUUUACAUUUUAAGGCAUGGGAUUUGCCUUAUUUCGCAGCCACUGCACACUGAGUUGAAUCAAAAAGAAAAUCCAUUAUCCAUUCAACACAAACUAUUAUAUUUAUACAGUAUCAAAAAUGUCGAUAUCUGCAGAAGCGUUUUCAAAUACAUAGACUUGUCUGUAGUUUCCCCCAAAUACUAUAACUCUGCACCAUGAAUUAUAAGAGAAAUUCAACUGCAGAUAACUUGAUAUAAAAAAGUGACAUGCCCCCAUCGGUGUGACAGGUACAAGAAACCAGUUUUUAACCUCUGGAAUACUUUAGCAACAAGAAGCUUAAGAAACACUUGUAAGAUCCCAGUCCAAAUUCCCCAUGACAUCCUGAACAAAUCUCAACAGCAGAACCUCUGAAGCAGGCAAUAAACAAUGUCUUCCAGAUGUUGAGAUAACUCUCAUCUUUCCUGACUAUUGGCCUUGCUGACUGAGGUUGAUGGGAAUUAUAAUUCCGCAACAUCUGCAGGGCCACAGGAUACCCAGCCCAGAAUGACAUUAUGGAGACAGAGGCUUCUAGAAUGCGGUAUGUGUCUUCUGCUUUAGAAUUAUACUAGCAGUCUGGGACACUUUAAUAGUAACACUUUCUUCUGCAAAAGUCAUUGUAGUCAUGUAUCAUUGAAUAAGGAUGAGAUAGAUGAGCACAAGAGGUUAAUCUGUCUAUCAGAGAUUUUAGUAAUCCCAAAUGUGUGUGUGUGUGUGUGAGAGAGAGAGAGAGAGAGAAAGGGGGGGGUAGGGAAAGCAUUGUUCUGUGUAGGAGUGAAAUCAAGCUAUAAAAAUAAAGGGGGAAAUAACCUUAUUCCCUCUAAUGCUAAGAGUAAUCAGUUUAUUAAGGAAAUGCAUGGAUAGGACUAAUGUUGUGUUAAGUAAAAUGGCUUGGCAAGCAAUAAUAGGGGAAAUCAUUCUCUCUGUGUGUCCAAUUUAAUAUGCAAUGAAGAGAGUUUAUCUAGGGCAUCAUUUGAUAGCACCAUUCAGAUGAGCUGCACAAUGGUUCCAAGAACUGGUAAUGCAAUCUUACAGAUAUUCAUCUUGUCGUCUCCAGCUAGCAGCUAGCCUGGGUGGUAGUAACUGAACGAUCCCGUCUAUUGUGUGACCUGAAAGAAGCUGAUUGUAAAAUAAAUCUUGGGACCUUUUUGUUUUAAAAGUAAAGUGUGGUGGAGAAGGUCACACCACAGACGGUCAGGAGUGCUUAGAGUGGUAGUUUAUUGGUAUCCUCACAGGGACAGCAACUUCUGCAGUGUUUCAGAUAUGUGGGUUUUUCUGUAUCAAAAUACUCUUAUCAGUGAGGGGUGCUGAAGGGGAGUGAUUUUUUUAAAAAAAAUGAAACCUAAAGCCCAUAUAACUACAUAUUGUAAGUAAUAAAGCUAAUUUACUGAGAUUAGUUCUCAAAGAUCUAAAUAGCAAUGUGAUUGGUGGAUUCUUUCAGGCAGAUUUCUCUUGUUGACAUUACAAAGGAAGGGAGGGGUACUUCAAGGGAGUGUUAAGUCACAGCCCCCAAAGCAUCCAAAUAAGAAUAGGAAUGCAAAAACUUGCACCUUUCAACCUAACAACUUUAUUGAGGCCUGUAUUCUUGUAGGUGAAAGUCUACUUGAUCAGAUGUGUGGAGUGUGCAGGGCAAAUACUAGAUACACGUAUUCACUCUGUUUCAGGCCUGGGGAGGAAACUGUUCUGAAAUAGUAAACGAUUUUAAAAUCAGAUAUGCCAUACAUGGAGGAGUGUAGGAAGGGGGGUGCGGCACGCCCUGGGUGUCACCCUGAAGGGGGGUGACAUUUGGCAUGCCCCCCGUGACUCCCAAGGCUACAGUGGGGCCACCAGCAAAGCCGAUGCUGCACCACUUCUCCCAGCUCACUGUAGCUGUAGGCUUGGGAGUCAUGGGCAGGGGGGCGUGUGGUUGCCCCGCCACCCAUGCUCCUGGCUAGAGGAGACAGGCAGGGGAAAGGACAGGUGUCAUCCCAGGGAAGGGGAUGACAUUUGGCGCACCCCCAUGGGCAGAUCAGCAAGGUGCCGAUGGCAGCCCCGGGAAGAUCAGCGCACCCCAGUGGGCUGACUGACUCGCCCCUGGGCAGAUCGGCCCGCCCCCAGGUGCACAUAAUGCUUACCACUCUGGGUGCCCAUCAGCUUCCUAGGCCACAACAGUGUUACCUUGGGUUACAUACGCUUCAGGUUACAGACUCUGCUAACCCAGAAAUAGUGCUUCAGGUUAAGAACUUUGCUUCAGGAUGAGAACAGAAAUCGUGCUCCAGCGGCACGGUAGCAGCAGUAGGCCCCAUUAGCUAAAGUGGUACUUCAGGUUAAGAACAGUUUCAGGUUAAGAACAGACCUCCGGAAUGAAUUAAAUACUUAACCUGAGGUGCCACUAUACAUACAUGCAUAAACAAGAUUAAGUCGCAUGGUGUAGUGGCUUACAGAUGCAUCCAGCCACUGCAGAGCUCAAAACUCAUAUUAAAUGUUGACAGAUGUCAGACAACCAAAGAUGGUUCAGCUCCCACCCACCCCCAUCCAAGCAGGUGAGGGAGAACACAAUGUCCAGCAGUUGAUGUACCCUCAGACAUCACAAAUGAGGACCUUCCUAUCAUCCUCCAUCAAGUGCUAGGCUAAAGAAAAUCCCUAGAGGAAAAUGCAAUCCUUCAUUCUCAAGGAGCACGUUUACAACAAUAUGUAAAUCACAGCAGCGUCUGCAGACAUAUUGACUUGAACUUUUAAGAGCAAAAGGAAUUCAGUCUAUAAAAUAUUGCUAGCUACAUGAAUAAGUCAUAAAUUGUAUUCUGCAGUAACCGUAUUUACUGCUGAGACUGAGAAAUUAAUGUGAUCCCCCCCACCCAGUAUUUACUCACAGAGACAUAUAUUAUUUAAUUCUGGAAGUUGAUUCCUUCUCAAAUAUUGAAUUAAUGUGACAUCAGUUUGAGGGAUUUAAUUGAUUUGUUAGGUUUCAGUUAUUCAUUCAGCGGCUGUCUUGGAAACACCCUGACCUAUAGAACAGCACACUAUGCUUUAGCUGUAAGAAAACUCAGGGUGAAGGAAAUAGAAAAAAAAAUCAGGAUAGUUAAUGUAGGGGACUCCUAAGCAGAUAAUGGAUCUUAGUUUAGUCUAAACUGGAGAUUAAUUGUACUGAAUUUCUCUCUCUCUCGUUUUAUUGCGAUCUGUGUGAUUGAAAUAUUAUAUUGUCUGAAUGAUAUCGAGGUCAGUGCCUAGUACAGGAAAGCUGAUCACUGACUGAUCUUGGAAAAAUGGGGGCGGGGGGUCUCUCUCCUUUGAAUUUUGAUCGCUCAAAACACAUUUCAUUCAUGUUUUCAAGUUGUAUUGAGCUGGCAGCAGUGUGGGCUAGAAGCCUGUCUAUUCAAAAUUGAAUUUGGUUUUUCAGGAAAACUGCUGUGCCCAAGCAUAGCCUUUGCUGUUGCACAGAUGUGAUGUGUGACCAGAGUGUUUCAUCAGCUCAUCUGCUUGUGUUGACACUGUUAAAAUGGAUUCAGCAGAGCAAGGGGUGUGUGAAUCUGCACCCCUCUGUUAUGUUGUUGAAUUGCAGCUCCGACCAUACCUAACCACAGGUCAUGCUUGCUGGGACUGAUGCGAGUUGGAAUCUAACAACAUCUGGAGGGAUAGAGAUUCCCCAUCCUUUCAGUAGCAGAUAGGCUUGUUUCUGAUCUUAGCAGAAAUCCUGGUGCAUAGUGUUAGCAUUUUCAUUUGAAAAUCUAUUCUGGAGGACUUCCGGUGAAGCUAUAUCGCCAUCUUCCCGAAUUUCAGAUCUGUAACAGAUCUGCUCAACAAUAUUUUUAUUGCUUUUUUAAAGGGCAGAUUCCACCAGUUAUCUCCCCCCUUUAGGGAAAAUAAAAUUUAAAAUCUGUAGGUUCCUUUACACAAUUGGUUUAACAUCUUCAGAAAAUGUCCUGGUGAUAUGCCCAAGUGGUAUAAGGUCAUCAUCAGAGAUGGGCUGAAACAGUAACAAACUUUUUGAAAGAUGUCCUAAUUGUAUGGGGGGGGAGUUUGACCACACUUCCCUUAAAACAGGGGAGGUUCCUGAAGGGACGCCAUGUUGUUUUGGGGUAUUGAUUUGAACCCCAGGCUGUUAAGUGGCCAUUCAUGGCCUAAACUAUGGUGUGUAACAUUUCUAUGGUGUGUAGCAUAUUGACUUUGAACAAACUUUUCCACAGCUGUUGAUUUGAUCAGAAGGUUUGCAAAUGAGCUCCCCUAAUCCAGCAAUAUCUACCUAUUCACUCCUUUUGCUGAAUUGGCUUGAUAAUAUCUGUAGGAAAUUGCUGUGAUAAAAUACAAAUUCAUUUCCUCCCUCCCCACCCCAUCACUCAGCUGUGAUUGUUCUGUUUUUGCAAUGCUAAAUCACAGCCGAUCCACCAAGGGUGACAGCUUUGUUUAUGCAUUAAUGCUCUGUCUGCAUUAUUUGACGGUGCUUUUUGAGAUAACAUUUUAUUAGUGAGAAUACUUUUCCAAUGGGCUUUCUCAUUUGCCUCUCUUGAGAUAGCACAUAAAGGGAAAAGAUUCCUGUUUCAGAUGAACAGCAUGUAUUGGAGAUCACCUGCUGUUCUAAAUGCCCGAGCAAAGUUUUCAGGGAGGUAUUUACAAGGUAAGAGGAGAUGUGUGUCUUAUAUGGUACAGAGAGAGAUCUGAAUGAGCUAUUCAACAUAGUUGGGGCCCAGAGAUUAGGCUGUUUAGAUCCCAAAGUUUGAAUACUUUAUCUGAAUUCUGCUGCUAAUUACCUUUGGCACUCUUUGUAAAAACUGUAGUGCAAACUGCAGAAGAGGAAUAAAUUGUCUUUAUGAUAUUUUUGUCACUUCUGCUAGAGCAUACUGUGUCUUUACUGUCUACUUAAACUACCAUUUCUUUUGCCCAGGCUUGGCAAAAAAUAAUAAUAAUCAAAAACAUUCUCUGAUGAUACGAUUAUUAUUGCUUUUUAAAUGUUACACUGUGAAGAAUUUCAGACCAAUUCAAAAAUGGAAAGGUGUGGCUGGAGACAGAAAGCUGUCAUUACAGCAGCUUAGAGGGUUACCUUCUACUCCACCAAGCCCACCUCCUCCCACCCACGGCAAUGGAAGCAGUGGAAGUUUUAUUUAUGACGAUUUUCACCCAAUGGAUUUAUGGGUCUGUGAUGCCACCCUUCUGAUGGUUCUGAAUGCCCGAGCUUCUGAUGGUUCUGCUAGGUGCUUCUUUUACUGAUAGAUAACCUGCUUAGAUAACAUUAGCUUCCACUGGAGCUGAUUCCAACAUCAGCUAAACCUCAACAGAGAUCCUAUUACAGGACCCUUCCUUACUCUCAACUUUUGUCACUCUUGGAUUGACCUUUUUGGACACAUUGGAGGCAUGCUCCAAGCAGAACCCACAGGGCCUAUGUGCCAGAAGAACAUAGGUGGCCUGCAAGACAAGAUGCAGACAUAGCAUACCACUAGUCCCCAUGUGCAACCACAGUCUGAACGAUAGCAGAAAAAUAGCUUUCUUUUGAGCUGUUCCUGAACUCUUGGAGAUCUUGAGUCAUUCCUGAAGAAUAUUCAGCAAAUGGCCAGCCCAGUUUCACCAUCUAUAUGUUUCGGAUGCAACUGUGGAUCCAAUUCUAAUAUUGUUUGGAUUUUAUUUCAGUGUUGUUGAAGGAAGCUUGGCUCCUUUCCAACCCAGUUCUUCUCUCUUAGCCUGUAGCUUCCUCCCUCCACUGAAUAAUUGUUUCAUUCAACAUCAAGUGAGCCAAAAUUUUAUCAGUGGAGACAUUUCUGAGGAACAAUUAUAGUGGAUUUUACAUUAUCCCACCUUCACCCUGCCCCAUUUUACCACCCACAAAUACCAUUGAGAACAUUAGAAGACCUCACUUUUGCUCAAAAGCCCCAAAGCUUUCUCUGGUUUUCCCAAAGUUUCAUUUAUCCUUCAGUGAACUGACUUCCAGAACAUUACCCCUGGCUUAUUAUUAUUGCUUUAACAUAUAGCCAACUUCCUGCCACAGUUGCUGAGUUUUUCCCCUCUUUCAAAAGAGAACAAAUGUGACACAUGUUCCAUAAUGACACCAGAUAUAUAGAGGUUGGCCACCUCCACUUGAACCACAGGCCAAGGAAGAGCUACCAGCAAGCUGGGAGUGGCAAAUAAAAUAUCAUAUUAAAGAAAAUCAUGUCAUGCUGACCUCUGAGCUCUAAAGCUUGGGAGAGACUCUGCUAAUGAGGAACUGUAAUCUUUUGAGAGAUACACAGGCAAAGAUUUUCCCCACUGUAGUCAACAGAGAGAUUUCACAAUAGUUGUUACAAUCAUGGUAGUCAUCUUUGUUCUAAUAUAGGGUCACAAGACUGGAUCCUUUUCCUCAACACUGCAAGAGAAGGCCAUGGAGGUAUAUCAUGAGGGAAGAACUGAGGCCAGCUUUCAGCACUUUUGUUGGGACCCCCCAAUGAGCUUUUAAUGCAGCUCUUUGUAUGCAAGACCAUGUUUCCACUAAGUAACCAAAGAACGAUAAAUAACUUUUCUGGCUGUUCUUGCAGUUGUGUUUUGGUUUGGCAUCUUGCAGACACUCCCAACUAAUGGUAUCAUUUGUAGAGCCAAUAGCCUCUUAAAUAGCUCUUUAAGAAAACAACACAUUUGUUUGUACACUGAGGGCCAAGGAGCCUACUGAUGACUUUUACGCUAUUAUGCUUUUAGAGCUAAUUAUAUUUCUUUAAUGCAGCCAGCUUCUUGACUUCAGCAAGCCAUGUUAUUAAUGAAACCUUAAUGUGCUCUAAUUCUGCUGAGUGCGGCUAUUGUGCAGAAGGCUAGGACAGUAACUUCCUUUUUAUAUCCUUUACAUGAAGUCUGUGUGACAGUUUGGAGGCAACUGACUUCCACAGAGGAAUCAGUUCAUGAGUGAAGUCACAUCAUGGCGUGGUGGAUUACAAAUUCAUAAGGCAUUUUUAAACAUUUGUCAACUUGUGAUUUCAAAACUUACCUUCUCCUGCCAGGAGGAACAAGGAAGUGGAGUCCAGGGCACUGAAGCCAUGUCAGAACCUGCCAGAACCAGAGGGGAUCUGGCAGGUCAGGGGAGCCAGAUGAAUCUGGUUUGUCAGAAGAUUGAGCUUACUGGUUUUUCAGACCUCAAUUGUGGAUAUAUGUCAGAACACAAUCUUAGCUAUGCCAGAGUGCUAAUUAGGCCUGCCAGCCUCUCCGUUUGUUCCAUGAGGCUGUUUGGGCCAAUCUGCCCUACACCAAACAUCCUAUAUGGCAUCAGAUGUAGGGCAGGUAAAAAUGGCUGGGCCGAAAGGUGGUUUAUGGCGCUGCCAAUCACCAGCACCCAAAAAGCCCUCUGCAGGGUGCUUUGCAAGCAGUGACUAUCAGCUGAUCAUCAGGGCUUGCAAAGUGCUGUGCCAUUACCUACACAACUUGGAAAGGAGGAAGCCAACAUGGCGCCGAGGUAAGACGCGCUUACCGGUGCUCUUCGGACUUCUUUUAAUCUUCUCUUAAUCUUUUAUACUUUUAUCGCAACUGACUCAGUCAGUUUUUGAAGUAUUUUAUAAUUGCUGCAGCCGCAUACUAUGGAAACUCUUUGAGAGAUUUGGCCCUGCUCCAGACUGCUGCAAGCCGCUCUUUGUUUCUCUCAUAUCAGCGGGCUGGCUUUAGCUGCUAAAGGAGUUGAGAACGCCAUUAUCUUAAUUGCGUGUUAAGUGUUAUGUUAUUUUAAGAAUCGUAUAAUCUCUGGCCUGAGGAAAGCAUGGGUCAGAAAAAACGCUUGAGAGACUUUGACGAGCCCCUAUCAUCCCCUAAACCAAAACUAUCAAGGUUGGUGCCACACCGGAUUGGAGGAGGGAGUGACCAUGCCGAGCAAGGCUUUGCAGUGGAAACCCAAAAUCGCUUCCAACCUCUAAUUGAUUUAGAAGCUACUCCGAUUCCGAUGACUCAAAAUGUUUCAAAUGUAAAGCCUGUAAAGGAGAAUACGAAAGAAAAACUCUCAUCGCAGGAUGAUGGUUUGGCAUCUGUUAUGGGGAGUUCCCCAGAUGUGAGCAGUUACACUUAGUAAUUAAGACCCUUCACUGUAUUUUUAAAAGGCUGGACGAGGUAUCUUCACAAUUAUCCAAUAUCCUGCUGAAAAUCGGAAAACUUGAAUCAACAACACAAUCCUCAGUUUGUGAGGUCAAAAACUUAUUGCCUCACCCCCAUUCAGAUAAAAUACUGGAGACUAAAACUAAAUAUGUCUUAAAUUCCCAAUUGAACAAUCAGAUAUUAACUUUGCAACCCAAGAAAAGUUGCCUAUCUGUCAGGUCGGAAAGAGGAAGAUGGUCAACGCUAGAAGGAGCUAAAGACUGCUUAAGCAAACUUUUAAAAAUUAAGAAAUAUCAGAUUGACCUAUAUGCUGUAAUGCCCCUUCCCCGGCAGACCAACUUCUUGAAGGUGAUACUUGCGUUCCACUCUGAAAAGAUACCAUCUAUUAUUGUUAGGAGGAAAACGCUUUUGUCCAUGGCCGACAUUGUAGCAACGAGGGUUUUUACAGACAGCAAGAUCAAACCCCUUCUAAAUAGGUGCCCUGGCGGUGAGGACAUUAGGACAAGAGACUCUGCCUUACUUCAAAAUACUGUCAGGCCCAAUCGCGAUGACUCUGCAGCGUGCCAUCCGCGACCAAACUCGAUACCCUCUCAAACUGCUAUAUAUGAGGAUGAUAAUCUGCAGACUGCCCUCGACGAAAGGGAACUUAUUGAUUCAUUCAGAGCCCUUCCUCCGAAAGAACAGUCGGUGAUGAUGCAAAGAUUUGACACGCUUAAAUCUCAGCUUUUGCAAGUUCAACAUAGAGGGAAGAUACUAACGAUGUCUCAAAUAAUCCCACUUGGGCCCACCGGACAGAAGUGGUUGACCUUCUUCAGCUCAGCCCCACUCUGAAUUCAAAAACCAUCCGACAAGACUCAAAUCUUCAAGUUGCUUCUGCAGCGUGCGCUACAUCACGAGACGACCAGGCUCUGCCAUCCUCACUGAACCUUCAUCUAUAUUCAUCAACCAACAUACCUAAGGACGAAAUUCUGAUUUCCCUGCUUGACUCAAAUCCCUCUUUAACUCACUCAUCUAUGCCAGAGCUAGAAUCUUCUCCAGUUUCGUCCAGAUAUAGAAGUAGUCCACAAGUGAUGCCCCUGAGAGAGUCUUCCGCAAUUUCCACCUCCGUGAUGCCCCCUCAAUUACCUCCUUCAAAGGAAACUGCGAAUGUUACACCUCGGGACCCGCCGUCAGAAAUGAUUGAAGACCCGAUGGGACGCAUCAAUAAAAUAAUCCGAAUGUCGGAUGACAAAUCUACGAGAGGGUUUACCCCGACGGACUCAAUUUCCCCUACCUGGGUAUUUCUCUGUCAAGUUGUACCAAGAAUUUCGAAAUGAAGAGACUUCCUGUUCAGAGAUCUACUUUCAGUGGAUCAUCCACGGUGUGCCAACAGUCGAACCAAAUUGUUAAAAACUUUAAUUUGCAGGGCGCCUCACAGUUACCAUCUUCCCAAAGUAAAAUAACUGACUUUUUUGUUACAUCUUCUGUCUUUAACAGAGAGUCUGCCCCCCCUCCAUUUUGACUGUUAAAAGAACAACAUAGAAGUCCCCUGCUAGCAGUCCUAAGUUGGAACAUUGCUGGCUGGAAAAGGAAAAGAUUAGAUCCCGAAUUUCUGUCCUAUAUAAACUCUUUCCAGAUAAUCCUUUUGCAAGAAACAUGGGAAGAAGAUAAAAUAGAUAUAAAUGGCUUUGAACUGAUAUCACUUCCAGCUAUCCCCUCCCAGAAAGGUGGCCGGUCCAGUGGCGGUCUUGCAAUCGCCAUAUCGCUUAAAAUGAGAGCUAAACUCUCGCUAGUUCAUACCUUUCCUCCUUUUGCUUUUACUGGUCUGAUUUCAAGUGAAAAACUCUCACUAUUAAUCACCAAUGUUUAUCUUCCUCCAGGUGGUCUGAUAUCAGACCUUCAUUAUAGAUGGGAUUCUCUGGAAGAUCAUUUAUUGGCAUGCUAUGUUAAGUACCCUAAUAUUCCAUCGAUAAUGGGUGGUGACUUCAAUGCACGUACAGCUGCCAACUGGAAUGGGAUAAUUAAGGCCAAGUGGUGGGUAUCUCCCCCCUACCCAAAAUCUGAUUUAAUCUCUUUCACAUCAAGAAGAUCCAAGGACAACAGAGUGAAUGAGGCGGGAGUCCUUCUUUAUCAAUUGGCCAUUCGUAUGAAUUUGAACAUUCUAAAUGGCAACUGCCCUCCGGACGUGCCAGGUGAAUUCACUCAUUUGGGCACAACAUCUAAUAGUGUCCUAGAUUAUCUUCUAGUCUCAGAAGACCUAUUUUCAAAUUUCUUUUAUUUCAAAGUAGAUAAUGUACAAUCCAGUGAUCACCUACCUCUAGCGGCCAAGCUAACGCUUGACUGGCACCCGGUUAGCGGAACACACCCAAUUCAUGUAGGUUUAAAUGCCACAGCUCAAGUAAGAGGCAUUAAAUGGUCCAUGAAACAGGCCCAAAAAUAUGCAGAAUUCUUCCAGAGGAAUAGCUCCGAAUCCCUUAUUGUUUCAUUGGCGGAGCUGUCUGAACCAAAUAGGAUACUGGAGUGGUUCUUCCACUUCUCUGCAGAUUUAACUAGCUUCUUUACGAUGCCGGCUCACCUCGCAAAACGAGAUCAACCCAGGUUCGGUGCUCCUUGGUUUGAAGCCAAAUGUAAGCAAGCUAGACUCUCUCUCUGUUGUAUCUACAACAGAUAUAAAGCCUCUGGAGCUGAAACUCUCCCCCCAGAGUACUUGCAGGCCAAAAUUGCUUACAAACAGGCUCAGAAGUCAGCCAAGCACGAGUGGCAGCUAAGACGUUGGCAAGCGCUGAUUGCUGCCUCUAAGCUUCGCAGCUCUCGCGGUUUUUGGAAUUUAAUCAACAAAAGAUCGAGGAAAUACCCAUUGACGGUUAUCCCAGCCCCGACAUGGGAACAAUUUCUAAGAAAAUAUUUCUCCCAGACAGACAUCUCUAACAUCCAAUCUGAUACUCUCUCAAGUAACUUGCCCAUAUGGCCAGAUACUGACCCGGAGGAAAUAGUAGAUUUAAUUGCCAAACUGAAAACUGAUAAAGCCCCAGGGCCCGAUCUGAUCCCGGCGGAAGCUAUUAAACAACAUCCAAUAUGGUGGGCUAAAAUUCUUGCAAAAAUCUUUGAUACAAUCAAUGCCACGGGCCAGAUACCUACAUCAUGGAAGGAGUCCAUCAUAAUUCCUAUAUAUAAAAAGGACCACCAGAGGACCCAGGAAACUAUCGUAAUAUCAGUUUAUUAUCAAUCAUCGGAAAAAUCUACACUCGCUUCUUGCUAACCAGACUAACCCAAUGGGCCGAAGAUUCCAAUCUGAUAGGCCAUGAACAGGUCGGGUUUAGACCAAAUCGCGCUUCUAUUGACCAUGCUAUAAUUCUAUAUCAUUUGGCGCGGAAAUAUUCUUCCCCUACUCAUGGUCUUCUAUGUGCCGCUUUUAUAGACCUGAAGGCGGCUUUUGACAGUAUCUCUAGAGAGCUGUUAUGGGAAAAACUGGCAAAGUGGGGCAUAGAUAAAAGGCUGUUGUGGCUAUUGAUUAAAUUACAUGAAGGGACGGCUGCUAGGGUGAGGUUAACACCUGAGGGCGAUCUCACAAACUCAGUUCCAAUAAACAAGGGGGUACGACAAGGGUGCAUCCUUGCCCCCUAUCUUUUUAACCUUUAUAUUAGUGACAUGAGGACGCCCCUAGCUGAGGCCCAAACCUCCAUUCAUGCACCCAGGCUUGCAGACUAUCGCUGCCCCUUAUUAUUGUACGCUGACGAUGCGGUGAUCCUCUCUUAUUCUCGAAUCGGUUUGAGGAGGGCCCUUAAGAUUUUUGCAUCAUAUUGCCAAACAAAUUUACUUACUAUUAACCAUUCCAAAUCUAAAGUCCUAAUUUUUUCCAGGAGUCGUAAACUGUAUAGAUGGGAACUUGAGGGAAGCCAAUUGAACAAGUUUACAAAUUUCAAUAUCUAGGAAUUUACUUCCAGUAUAAUAUGGGAUGGAAAGCGCAUAUCACAUAUCUACAAAACAAGGUGAAAGCCCUUAUCUACGCUAUACUACGCUUCUUCUUUACUGAGGGGCUAUGCAUGUUCCAUCUGCCUUAAAAGUUUAUAGUGCAAAAGUGGUUGCAACUAUGGCCUAUGCGGUCCCUUUAUGGGGCGUCUUUGUAAACCUCUUGCCUCUGGUGACAUUGCAAAACCUUUUCUAAGACGCCUUUUGAAACUACCCUCCUGUGUAAGCAACUCUGCCAUUCGCUUAGAACUUAAGACCCCCUCCCUUGAGAUUCUGAUGUGGAGACAUGCCUUUAAUUAUUGGCUGUCCCUUUGGCAUAAAUUGCCAAACUACCAUCUUAUUCAGUGCCUUUGGAGAGACGAAUUCACCAGCCCAUGGGCAACAAAAAUCCAUUCCAAACUGUUGUCUUAUGGAAUCUCUCCCUCCGAUAUACUUAAUUUAGAUCUAAUUACAGCUAAAAAGGUCAUCAAACAAAGACUGGAGGAGGUAGAUUUACAACAAAAUCUUACCACAGGUGGAGGUACAUGUUCCCCGAUAUAUCAGGGCAUUACAUAUAUGUCCCAGAUACCUCGAUAUCUGUCUACUUUAUCGGCUGCGUCGCAUAGAUUCGCAUUUGUUAGAGCCAGAUUUAAUGUGUUCCCCUCAAAUGUGCUGAGCAAUAGAUUUUCUAACGGUAAAAUCUCUGUUUUGUGCGCAUGUGACAACAAAUCGAUAGAAUCCCUUUAUCAUAUCUUGUUUAAUUGCCCCUUAUAUAAUGUUCCCCGAUCAAGGAUCCUGAGUUCAAUCAUUCUGGAAAUUGCUGCUAAACCACCUGAAUUACAUCUAGCUUAUCUACUCCAGGACAUUGACUCUUAUAGAACUUUACAGGUUGCUAGAUUCCUGAUCUCAGUUCUGUCAUAUAAAAGACUUCAGGGAAUGCUGCAUGACUAUUAAAAAUUCAGAAAACUCUAUGCACCAUCUUUAUCUUCAAGGCCAUAACACGGUACAUUUAGAGAUUAUGCGUUGAAAUAUUUUAGUUGAUAUUUUAGAUUGUAAAAUGCUAUUGAUUUUAUCUAUUGAUUUUUAUCUAUUGAUUUGUUUUACCCUGUGGGCUUAUAGCCGAAUAAAGUAUUAUCUAUCUAUCUACCUACACAACUUGAUUUCAAACUGCAUAGGCAAAAAUGGUAUCAUUGUGAUGUCAGGUGAUUGACAGGUGGCUGCCCCACCCAUGUCAAACUUGGUUCGGGAAGGGAGGAUGAGAAAGAUAAGGAUCCAGUUCUCCAAACCUGUUGGAUAGACCAGCAAAGUGCUGACUGGUUGGUUACUCUAGCCAAUGACAUUACAUCAAGAAGGGGUGCUGAUAUCUUGCACAAAUACCCUUUUCCUAUCUAGUAAAUAGAUGUUACCUUCCUGGGCUCCAUGAUCACUGUAGAUGGUGACAGCAGUCAUGAAUUUAAAAGAUGCCUGCUUCUUGGGAGAAAAGCAAUGACAAACCUAGACAGCAUCUCAAAAAGCAGACAUCACCUUGCCAACAAAGGUCCAUAUAGUUAAAGCUAUGGUUUUCCCAGUGGUGAUGUAUGGAAGUGAGAGCUGGACCAUAAAGAAGGCUGAUCGCGGAAAAAUUGAUGCUUUUGAAUUGUGGUGCUGGAGGAGACUCUUGAGAGUCCCAUGGACUGCAAAAAGACCAAAUCUAUCCAUUCUGAAGGAAAUCAACCCUGAGUGCUCACUGGAAGGACAGACCCUGAAGCUAAGGCUCAAAUAGUUUGGCCACCUAAUGAGAAGAGAAGACUCUCUGGAAAAAAAACUCUGGGGUUGAGAAAGAUUGAGGGCACAAGGAGAAGGGGACAACAGAGGACGAGAUGGUUGGACAGUGUUACAGAAGAGACCAACAUGAAUUUGAUGAAACUCCAGGAGGCAGUGGAAGACAGGAGUGCCUGGUGUGCUCUGGUCCAUGGGGUCAUGAAGAGUCGGACAUGACUAAACGACUAAACAACAACAAUCUAGUAAAUGCAAUGAUGUCACAGCAAGAGCCUCCCUCAACCAAGAGGUGGCCAGGCAGACACAAGCAGAGAUGUCUACUGCUUGUGUUUGGGUCAGGAUGCCUUAUCCAGAAUAUUCUGGUUGCAAGGAGGUAGAAAGACUAUCCUGUUGCUUCACAACUUUCAGGCUCUUGCUGCAGAUUGAUGGCUAUAAAUGUGAAAUAAAAGUUGUGUGCCCCUCAGUUAACCCAGUACCUGUGCCCUUACUCUUUAUUCCUGGUUGAGGUACAGUUUUCUUGACCUGAAACUCAGGCACCGCCUUGUCAAGUGGCACAGAUAUUUAGUUCAGCUUUCUUUUGAGAAUAAGGUCUGGUGCAGUUUGUUAGGUGAUGAUUAUUUACUGAUAUAUCUGAGACGACGUGAUGUCUGCAUUGCUUAGUUUUCAUUAUUUAUGCAUUCAAUUUACAACCCACCUUUUGUUCUGAAAGCAAACUCAAGGCUGCUAACACUAUCAAAACGGCAAUAAAAUUACAGCAAAACUCACAAGAACGGAUUGAAUCCUGCUAGUUUAGCUCUUCCAUUAGUACUUCUAACCCAGCCUUUCUCAACCUGUGGGUCCCCAGAUGUUGUUGAACUACAACUCCCAUCACCCCUAGCUAGGAAGGCCAGAGCUCAGGGAUGAUGGGAGUUGUAGUCCAACAACAUCUGGGGACCCACAGGUUGAGAACCACUGUAAAAUCUAACUAUUCAGGAUGCUGCAUAACAGAGGCUGUUGAAGACAACUUCCUGUCUUGUGCUGAUCAAAUAUGUGGGUUGGGGUGGGGGUGGGUAACCAAAACUGAACUGAAAUCCAAAAACUAGUUAAAAAGGUCAGACCUCCAUCCUGGCACAGUAAAACUGAAGUAGCCAAACUACUUUUUUUUUUUAAGUGGGACUAUUUUGUGGUAUGCAAUUUCAGUGAAGGAAGUUCUCUACCUCAAGGUAUUGUCCCCCCUGUCCAGUUGGAUGUUGGAUUCCAACUCUCAUCAGCCCCAGCCAAGAUCAAGAAUGAUGGGCGUUGUAAUCCAGCAGCGUAGUACCACUGGAGAGCACCACAUUGGCCACCCCAGCUGUAACAAUUCAGUUCCACAUGAAGCAUUAAUUCAGAGAAUAAGAAUAAGUAAAAUAUGGAGGAUGCACCAGUCUGGUUUACACCUGCUCAAGCUCAGAUGGUGCAGAAUGAACAUCCCUAGCUGGAUAUGAAGACCCUUACCUAGAUCCAUUCAAUGUUGAGAGCAUUUUCAAAGGUACUGCAAUGAAUUUUGCUGUUCUGAAUGUGAUGUAAGCUGCCAAUAUACUCCUGAAUAUUUCACCAAAGUUCUCCUGCCUGUCCCCAAUUUUCAGAAAUUUCCCAAUUUGGGGGGAAUUGGGGUGGGGGAGGGGACUUGACCAAAAUCAUCAGAACAGGACAAAGCCAGUUGUAAAAUUUCUUGACUGCCUUGAAACUGAUCUGCACCCAUAAAUAUCAAACAAUAUAACCACUUUCUCUGAGAAGAAAUCCAAGAGAUUCUUUUAAGCGUGAGUAGAAGGAGCUUGUCCCCUCUCCCCCAAUACUUCAGUUGUAGAAAGGCAGGCAAAAGAUGCUGUAUUUCAUAGGUAAUCAUUGCAGCAGCAGAGUCAGACAGGAGCUAGAGAGCUUGGUAAUUUUCAUGACUCUGGCAUUUACUUUGAUCCCAAAUACAAAUUGCUUUGCUCAGCUGAAGACAAAGAAUAAGCUAAUCUAACGAAACUAUAGUUUGAAAAUUCUCGAAGCUUAUAUUUCAAAUGAUGUAUGUGUGAUUGAUUUUUCAGAUUACUACUUCAAACUAAUCCCCAGAGGGCUGAGAAUAACAAAGAGAGGCCCAUAAAUGUAUUGGUUCUUACCUGGAUUACUUUAUCAAUGAGCUUCAUGUCUGUAAAAGUGAAAAUAAGAACAUAAGAAUUGCCUGCACAGAUUUAUAUAAUGGCAUUUAUGAGCUAAAACUGUGUUGCUAGUUGAUAUAGAAAGGAACAAUUUGGGACUGAAAUUCAUUCAAUCCACUAAGUUGUCAAAUACAACUGAGAAAGUUCAGGAGGAUAUAGCAUUAGUGCACGUAAAUUGCAGGUAAAUAAAAAUAAAAAUACCUACAGUAGUACCUCAGGUUACAGAUGCUUCAGGUUACAGACUCCGCUAACCCAGAAAUAGUACCUCGGGUUAAGAACAUUUUCAGGUUAAGAACGGACCUCCAGAACAAAUUAAGUUCUUAACCUGAGGUACCACUGUAUUUCUCAAAUUAAAUAUUUAUCAUGCAUUCAUUUUCUACGAGUUACACUGUGACUGUAAAAGUUUAUUUAUUUAUUUAAUGAUUCUAUUUACAGUUCAAAUUGGUUCCAAAUUUGUCACGGAAGGCUUAGAGGACACACUAGUCAGGAAGCUAGAUGGAAAUUUCAUUGUUUCCCUUAGCAGAAUGGAAUGGAAUAGAAAUCUUGUGCCUCCAGCCACAUAAAAUAAGUCUAGUGCCACCUAGCAACUAAGCUACAUAAAGACACCAUCCACACAAGUCCAGUUUCUUAAAGCUGGUACAUAUGUCUGAACCAGAACCAGACUGGAGAGUUAUAUACUCAUGAACCUGAACUGAAACAGAACCCACCUUUUAAAGUUUGAUUCACUAUCAGUUUUUGCCAAACUUGUCCCCUCCAGAUCUUUUGGACCACAACCCCCACCCACCCUAGCUGGCAUAUGGGCUGGGUCCUAAUCCAGAAUGGGUUUCCAAUAUGGAUCAGGGCCCUGCACCAAUUUACUGCUGAAAAUCACUUCUUCCCUGUCUGCUGUUUGAAUCUGAAGGUGCUGUUUGCAUUAAUGCAUGCCUUCAGGAUGGUGGAGAAAGGGUUGGCAGAAAGCUGGUGUGGGCCUUGAUCUGGAUUGAGGUCCCACAGGUGCUUUUUCUUCUAAAGAAAUAUAGCCAUGAAUGAAUAACUGUAAUAUGUAGUUUGGGGCUCAGUAGUCUAGAAUGGCCCAUGUGUCUUGGCUCCCUGAAUAAUUCCGUCUUAGAACUUUUGGUUCCCUAGUGCGUGAUGUCUAGCCAAUCAUCUCACACGGUAGCUUGAUAAGUCACUCAGAAGCCUUCUAACCACAAACAUGGGCUCCAACCCAAUAGAAAUAAAUACAUGUGCAAAUAGGUACACACAUGCUUUGUGUCUGUCAUGGACUCAGAAGUCUAGUCUAGCCUUGGCUCAUAGAAUCAUAGAAUUGUGGAGUUGGAAGGGAUCCCGAGGAUCAUCUGUCCAACCCCCAGCAAUGCAGGAAUAUGGGGAUUGAACCUACAAUCUUGGUAUUAUCAGUGCCACACUCUAACCAACUGAGCUAUCAAGGCAUUAUUAUAUCCAGGCUCAAGCCUUUUCAGCUCUGGGGACAUGUAUAGAUCACCUGUUGUAUUAGCAUUUACCUCUGUUGGAUGGGGCAACAAUGCCUUUAUAUGGACCACAAUCCACACAUCCCAAUCAGCUGUUGUUUCUGGUUCAUCCAUCCCACAUUCAAGCCUAAACCCUUUGCUAGAAGCUUCACCCUCUAUGUCACCCUGUAACUCAGGUUAUAGGGUCUGUCCCUUCCUCUUCCUGAACAUCAGAAGAACAUUCCCCAUGUUCAUGAAGGAAAAGGAACCAUAGCUCAGGAGCAGAGCACAUUAUUUGCAUACAUAAGAUCCCAGGCUCACCCCCCUGACCUCUCCAGUUAAGAGAUUCCUGCACACAAAAAAUGGAGGCCAAAUGCCAAUUAUAGACAAUUCUUGGGUGGGCGGGCCAAUGAAUUAGUCUAUCAGAAGGCAGUUCCAUAUGUUCCUGUGCUGUUCUGGGCAGCACUUUCUAUCAUUAAAUUCACCCAGCCCCAUUUAGCAUACAUAUGUGAACUGAAAGGGUUUGUGGAAGCAAUGCUAUUAAGGCAGCCUGGCAUUUUUGUGUGUGCUAACUUGAGGUGGGCUUGUGUCUAUUGUGUUUUGGUGCACACAGAAGGAGGGCUGUACCACAUGGAAGAAAAACAAACAAACAAACAAACAAACGGCCAAACCAAUUUCUGCAAGAGGAUUUGUUUACAAAGUUGUCAGAUUUACUGACACGUUCUGAGUACAUUUUCUGUUCUUCCCCAGGGGAAACUACUCAACAUCUUAGAAGAGGAGUAACAUAAAAGAAGUUAAAGCAAACAUUCUGGUAACAUUCAGCUUCUAGCUGCUACCACCAAAGGAACCAUUUUGUUCAACAUUUAAUCAGUAACCCAGUAUCAGA